UUUUUUUUUUUUUGUUUUGCUUAUGAGUACAGCAUGUAAGCCCAAAUCGGAAAGGCCAAAAGUGCAAGUUGUUGAAUUGGCUUGAAGUAGAUGAAGUAGUUGCAAUAGGACGUUGGGUAACAAAUGAUCCUAAUGCAAUGGUGCAUUGUCUAGCUCUUGGAAAAAAUGCUUCUCGUGUGUGGGUAGAUGAGGUGAAAAAUCCUUCUGUUGAGUUGUGGAAAAAAUAUGCAGAUAUGGAAACAAUAGAAGAUGCUUUGGGAAGUUCAAUUGCAUGGCCAACAGAAGCGAUUAUUGUUAUGGAAGAUUAAUUUUGGUAUGAAUGGUUAAAAGUUUAAUUGAAGACAAUAUUUUGACUUAGUGUUUUGAUUAGAUGAUUUUGAUGGAUCCAAGGGUAGUGUUUUGGUUAGAUGAUUUUGAUGGGUCUAAUGGUAUAUAUCAUUGUUGGAGUGAUUAUUGGUAUUUGAUAAACUUGGCAUUCACAAUUUUGAAUGAUGUUUACUGUAAUGCUAGGUCUUCUUUUGGACAUUAACUUUAGUUUGUUUUUGUAUAUGUAUGAUAUUAAUUUUUUCACUCUUAAAAUACCUGAUGGUAUUUGUUGUUCAUGAAUUAAUGAAAUGUAGUUUAUUCCUUUUGUUAAAAUUGUCAGUUUUAAUUAUAAAUCAUAUUGUAUUCGAUUAUGUUAUAAAUAUCUGGUAAAUGCUAUAAAGUUAAAAAAAAAGUUACAAAAUUAACCAAGCACAAUAGCAUUCCAGAAAAGAUUAAUAUAGCAUUACCAAACUUCAUAAAAUGCUAUCAACAGUUUGUAGCAUAAAAACAUGUUAUGGCGUUUCGGCUAAUGCUAUAGACUCUUCGGCUAAAUUAUAACAUUGAUAUAAAUGCUAUAAAUUACUUGAAUAACAAUUAUUCCUUUAGCAUUUAAAAAACGUUAUAAACAAAUAGCACUCCAAAAAACGCUCUAUCAUGAUAUUUGAUAACGUUAAAUAAAUGCUAUUAUAGUUUUAUAACAGCAUUUAAAAACUGCUAUACAUCAAUAGCGGUUUUUAAAAACGCUAUAGAGAAAAGAUAACAUGGGCAAUCACAACAUUAAAUAAAUGUUAUAAUAACGAUAAUAUAACAUUUUUUGAGCGCUAUCAAAAGUCAUAUUUGUUGUAGUGCAUCUACGAGGAUAAUACUUAGGGGAUUGAUAAUACUAUUCCUUAUGUGUUUGAUUCUUUACAUGAUGCCAAUAUUGACAUUGCUUGAAGGAUGGCCAUUUCUAAGUCAUCAUCUACGGGUGAUGAAGCCAUCAAAAAGCUUUCAAUGCUCAAGAGUUUAGAAACAAAAGUAUUUGUUGUGCAUAUGUCGCAUGCUCUUGCAUCUCAUCUAUUUUUGCAUGGUAAGAAGUUAGGAAUGAUGAGUAAAGGGUAUGCAUGGAUUAUAACAUCUUCAACUAUGGAUUUCCUGCAUUCAAUGGACUCAUCGGUUGUUGAGUCCAUGCAGGGAGUUCUGGGUUUCAAGCGUUAUGUUCCAGCAUCGAAGGAGCUUCACAAUUUCACCGUAAGGUAGAGAAGGGAACUGUACCUAUAUAAUCCAAAUGCUGCGGUAUCCGAAUUAGAUGUAUAUGGGAUUCUUGCAUAUGAUAUGUUUGGAUUCUGGCAAAGGCAUCAGAAAAGCUGAAAACUGAUCGGGUUCCUGAUGAAACAUUUUAUAAGCAGAUAAUAAACAGCAGGUUCACGAGUUUAAGCGGUAAUUUUCAACUAGUAGACGGGAAAUUAACUUCAUCGGGAGCAUUUGAGAUUGUAAAUGUGAUAGGCAAGACCUUAAAAAGAGUUGGGUUUUGGAGUCCAAUCACUAGGAUCUCAAAGGAAAUGAAUUCAUUAGUACUCUUCAAUAAGAUGAAUAUUAGUUCACCCUCACCAAAUGAUGAUGAACUCGAAGCCGUUAUAUGGCCAGGAGGAUCUGCAGCCAUUCCAGAAGGUGGUGGUAAGAUUAAUAAGUUAAGGAUAGGGGUUCCAGUGAAUGGUUUUAAAGAACUUGUCAAUGCGGCUCGGGAUCCUCAAGGAACAUUAAUCGUUGAAGGCAUCUGUAUAGACGUAUUCAAAUCAGCCAUUGACUCUUUAACAUUUGAAGUACCUUACGAGUUCAUUCCGUUUGAGGAUGCUAGUGGACGAAUGGCUGGAUCGUAUAAUGAUCUUAUCGAUCAGGUUUAUUUUAACAUACGUGAGCGAGUAUAUAUAUUACAAAUUUUAAUUUACAUCUAACUUUAUUUUACACAUAUUGACCAUGAUUAAUUGAAAAACUAGAAAUUUGAUGUUGUGGUGGGGGAUACAACAAUUACUGCCAAUAGAUCUUUGUACGUUGAUUUCACAUUGCCAUACACGGAAAUGGGCAUUGGAAUGAUAGUCCCAAUUGAUCAGAGCAACAACAUUUGGAUUUUCUUAAAGCCACUUGAACCAAAUCUUUGGCUAACCACUGCAGCAUUAUUUCUCUUGACUAGUUUUGUCAUGUGGAUUAUUGAACGUCCAGUCAAUGAUGAAUUCCAAGGUUCGCGGGCGCAUCAAUUUGGGAUGAUAUUUUGGUAUUCUUUCUCAACACUGGUAUUUUCUCAGAGUAAGUACACGUAUAUGUAAUAUGUAUCUCUACACACACACACACACUUUAAUUAUAUAUAUUUCAGAAAUUAAUUACUUUGUAAAUGGGCAUUAAUUUUUGUUUUUCAGGGGAAAAGCUAUUUAGCAAUUUGUCAAAGUUUGUAGUGAUCGUAUGGUUGUUUGUAGUGCUUAUAUUGAGCUCAAGCUAAACGGCAACUUUAGCCUCUAUGUUAACCAUUCAACAUAUUAAGUUGGCCUCAAUGGACAAUAUAGGAUCUCAAUUGGGCUCGGUUGUACCAGGAGCUCUAAGCAACUUAAAUUUUAAAGAUUCCAGACUCAAGAAAUACAAUUCUACUAAAGAAUAUGCCAAUGCUCUAUCCAAGGAGAGUAAGAAUGGUGGCAUUUCUGCCAUUAUUGAUGAAAUGCCCUACAUAAAGGCCUUCCUUGCCAAGUAUUCUGCCCAUUACACCUUGACUGCACCCAAGAAUACCAACAGUACCAAUGGUUUUGGCUUUGUGCGUAUCUCUACUAACAAUAUUAUAUUUAACUAAUUAACCUCGUACAGAUUACGUGUCACUAAAUUUUUUAUGUAUCCUCCAGGUUUUUCAAAAGGGUUCAUCACUAGUUCAUGACAUAUCAAAGGCUAUUGCAAGGUUAAGAGAAGAAGGGACUCUUACAAAGAUUGAAAAUGAAUGGUUUAUUGACAGACAAUCAAGUUUUAUGCAUAAGGGUUCCAUUAGUGAUAACCCAUCUAGUCUGAGCCUAACCAAUUUUGGCGGUUUGUUUCUUAUUACAGGGAUCUCUUUAACUCUAGCUCUUGUUAUAUUCUUACUUCCUUCAAUUUACAAAAAAAAUGCUUUCUGGAAAGGUGGGGUAUUGGAAAGAAAAAGUAGUACUUCAUUGUAAUUAUCAUUAAGGUAAGGCAUCCAUUUUAGGUUGCAUUUCAUUAAUUCAUCACUCUUUUACUAAAUUAUAUAUAUAUGUCCGUUUUAGUAAUCUUUAAUCACGUAAGACCAUUAUAAAUAUUACCUAUCUAUCUCGGAGUACUGAAGUAGAUUCCAAACAUUUAUAGUCAUUAUAUAUUUAUUUAUUGAAAUUUUGAUGUUAUAAGUGUCGUCAUGCAUGUUAUAGUGCGCAAUGAAAUAUGUAUCAAGAAUUUAUUAACAAGGUUACACAACUCACAAAAAUAAUCCAAACAAAUAAAUUAUAACACCUAUGCCGCCGUGCAUCAGAUCGAACUUCUUAUUGAGUUAUAAGAAUAUAGAAAUUAUUUUGGGCUCACUUAGCUAGUGAGCAUUUUGCACUCACUAAGCUCGUAAGCUUUACUGAUCAUAAACUAGAUCAUUGGCUGCACAAAAGUCUAAAAUGGGCCUUGUGGAAAAUAAUUUUAGCCCAACCCAAUGGGAUCAACUGAAGAGGAUCCACAUGAAUCAAAUAGGGAAUAGGUAUAAAACUUAGAGUUGAUUUGACAGCUCUUUGUGAGGCAGGCACGCUGGACAGCUGGCAAUUGGCAAAGGAGUCGCUUUCGUUUCUGAGUCCGGAUUCGACUGUUUUCACCCUUCGGCUUCCCGCACCGUUCUAUAGUCAUAAAAACGAUUUGAUUUUAAAAGUUUUAUAAUCGUUCGUAAUAUAUUUUAGAAAACGUAAGGCCACGCACAUCAGGCAAGGUCUUAAUUAAUUUUAUAAGCUCUAUCGCCUAUAAAUUUAUUUUGUAUUUAUUUUUUGAAGUCAGAGUAAGGAAUAUAAUUUUUUUUAUUCUAUUAUUUAUUUAUAUAUUUUGAGAGAGGAUUGGGCAUCCCACUUCGUGAGCCUCAUCAAUUUUUAGAGUAAAAGUAUAACUCUUUUAUUAAAUUUAAUAUAAUUAUAUUUAAUAAAAUAAAAUAAAUAAUAUUAUUAUAUUAAUAAAGAAUUAAUAAUAUUACUAUAUAUUAUAUUUAUUUGAAAAUAUAAUAUUAAUAUAUUUAUUUAAUAUCAAUAAUUAAUAAUAAAAAUAAUUUAUUCUAAGAAGAUAUUAAUUCCAUACUAUGUUAAUAGUAAAAAUAUUUUAUUUAUAUUGCCCUUAUCGAUAAUUUUUAAUUUACAUAAUUAUCGAUAAAAUUAAUAAAAAAUUGUGAUGUACAUAAUUAAGAAUAUUAAUAAUUAUUAUAAAUUUACAAAUAUAAUAAAAUAAAUGUUUAUUCAUCAAAUAUAUUUUUUAUUAACUUUGUAAUUAAAAACUACAAUUCUUUAAACAAAGGUAAAAUUAUAAUUUGAAACUAUUUACUCCUAAUCCAAGAUAAAGUAAAUACAUAAAUUAUAUUCUGAUCUUCAUUAUAUGUUUAUAUUUAAGUGUAAAUAAACAAAGUACUCUCAUUCUCACUCCACACUCUCAAUCACAGGAUCCCCACUCUUCAGGAUUCUCACUCCAAUCCAAAAUGUAAAUGUUACCUUAAGCGACCAAUUAAUAAAUCUGAGGACAAAAUACAACUUUACAACACAACAAAAAGUUUGAUUAAAAAAUAUUAAAAACUAUGCAAAUCUUCUUAUUUCGCUGAAAAUUGUAUUGUGUUUUCGUUUAGCACACACCAAACUCCUUUUUAUGGUACAGUUUUUACCAAAUUACUUUUUUCAUCGAUAAUAGGAUCACAUAGAGUAUAUCUUACUGAAAUAAGGGAAGCUUUCAUACAAUGGUAUGUGUGAUAUGAGGAAGAAACAAGAAAAAUAACAAUAAAAUUAUUGAUUAUUAGUUGGCAUUUAAUAAUACCAAUAUGGUUAUUGAUUCAUAUGGAAGAAAGAACCAAGAUAAGUAAGAUUCCACCCAAACUAGGGGGAUACAUUGAUUUAUAUUUACAGAUAAAAUUCUCUUGCAAAUACAAUGCAAGGAGAUACUAAAAUUUUAUGAUGUACAUUCUGUAAUUUCCGGACACUUCUGACUCCAAGACUCCAGCAUCCACUUAAAAGUAAAAAGCUAACUCAAACCACCACCCAGCGGCACUUUUGUUUCUCAAACUACACUCCAUACCUCCACAUACAAGUUACUCAAUGCCCUAGUGAAUCAGUUAAACAAAUAGCACUCCAAAAAACGCUCUAUCAUGAUAUUUGAUAACGUUAAAUAAAUGCUAUUAUAGUUUUAUAACAGCAUUUAAAAACUGCUAUACAUCAAUAGCGGUUUUUAAAAACGCUAUAGAGAAAAGAUAACAUGGGCAAUCACAACAUUAAAUAAAUGUUAUAAUAACGAUAAUAUAACAUUUUUUGAGCGCUAUCAAAAGUCAUAUUUGUUGUAGUGCAUCUACGAGGAUAAUACUUAGGGGAUUGAUAAUACUAUUCCUUAUGUGUUUGAUUCUUUACAUGAUGCCAAUAUUGACAUUGCUUGAAGGAUGGCCAUUUCUAAGUCAUCAUCUACGGGUGAUGAAGCCAUCAAAAAGCUUUCAAUGCUCAAGAGUUUAGAAACAAAAGUAUUUGUUGUGCAUAUGUCGCAUGCUCUUGCAUCUCAUCUAUUUUUGCAUGGUAAGAAGUUAGGAAUGAUGAGUAAAGGGUAUGCAUGGAUUAUAACAUCUUCAACUAUGGAUUUCCUGCAUUCAAUGGACUCAUCGGUUGUUGAGUCCAUGCAGGGAGUUCUGGGUUUCAAGCGUUAUGUUCCAGCAUCGAAGGAGCUUCACAAUUUCACCGUAAGGUAGAGAAGGGAACUGUACCUAUAUAAUCCAAAUGCUGCGGUAUCCGAAUUAGAUGUAUAUGGGAUUCUUGCAUAUGAUAUGUUUGGAUUCUGGCAAAGGCAUCAGAAAAGCUGAAAACUGAUCGGGUUCCUGAUGAAACAUUUUAUAAGCAGAUAAUAAACAGCAGGUUCACGAGUUUAAGCGGUAAUUUUCAACUAGUAGACGGGAAAUUAACUUCAUCGGGAGCAUUUGAGAUUGUAAAUGUGAUAGGCAAGACCUUAAAAAGAGUUGGGUUUUGGAGUCCAAUCACUGGGAUCUCAAAGGAAAUGAAUUCAUCAGUACUCUUCAACAAGAUGAAUAUUAGUUCACCCUCACCAAAUGAUGAUGAACUCGAAGCCGUUAUAUGGCCAGGAGGAUCUGCAGCCAUUCCAGAAGGUGGUGGUAAGAAUAAUAAGUUAAGGAUAGGGGUUCCAGUGAAUGCUUUUAAAGAACUUGUCCAUAUUGCGGCUCGGGAUCCUCAAGGAACAUUUAUCGUUGAAGGCUUCUGUAUAGACGUAUUCAAGGCAGCCAUUGACUCUUUAACGUUUGAAGUACCUUACCAGUUCAUUCCGUUUGAGGAUGAAAGUGGACGAAUGGCUGGAUCGUAUAAUGAUCUUAUCGAUCAGGUUUAUUUUAACAUACGUGAGCGAGUAUAUAUAUUACAAAUUUUAAUUUACAUCUAACUUUAUUUUACACAUAUUGACCAUGAUUAAUUGAAAAACUAGAAAUUUGAUGUUGUGGUGGGGGAUACAACAAUUACUGCCAAUAGAUCUUUGUACGUUGAUUUCACAUUGCCAUACACGGAAAUGGGCAUUGGAAUGAUAGUCCCAAUUGAUCAGAGCAACAACAUUUGGAUUUUCUUAAAGCCACUUGAACCAAAUCUUUGGCUAACCACUGCAGCAUUAUUUCUCUUGACUAGUUUUGUCAUGUGGAUUAUUGAACGUCCAGUCAAUGAUGAAUUCCAAGGUUCGCGGGCGCAUCAAUUUGGGAUGAUAUUUUGGUAUUCUUUCUCAACACUGGUAUUUUCUCAGAGUAAGUACACGUAUAUGUAAUAUGUAUCUCUACACACACACACACACUUUAAUUAUAUAUAUUUCAGAAAUUAAUUACUUUGUAAAUGGGCAUUAAUUUUUGUUUUUCAGGGGAAAAGCUAUUUAGCAAUUUGUCAAAGUUUGUAGUGAUCGUAUGGUUGUUUGUAGUGCUUAUAUUGAGCUCAAGCUAAACGGCAACUUUAGCCUCUAUGUUAACCAUUCAACAUAUUAAGUUGGCCUCAAUGGACAAUAUAGGAUCUCAAUUGGGCUCGGUUGUACCAGGAGCUCUAAGCAACUUAAAUUUUAAAGAUUCCAGACUCAAGAAAUACAAUUCUACUAAAGAAUAUGCCAAUGCUCUAUCCAAGGAGAGUAAGAAUGGUGGCAUUUCUGCCAUUAUUGAUGAAAUGCCCUACAUAAAGGCCUUCCUUGCCAAGUAUUCUGCCCAUUACACCUUGACUGCACCCAAGAAUACCAACAGUACCAAUGGUUUUGGCUUUGUGCGUAUCUCUACUAACAAUAUUAUAUUUAACUAAUUAACCUCGUACAGAUUACGUGUCACUAAAUUUUUUAUGUAUCCUCCAGGUUUUUCAAAAGGGUUCAUCACUAGUUCAUGACAUAUCAAAGGCUAUUGCAAGGUUAAGAGAAGAAGGGACUCUUACAAAGAUUGAAAAUGAAUGGUUUAUUGACAGACAAUCAAGUUUUAUGCAUAAGGGUUCCAUUAGUGAUAACCCAUCUAGUCUGAGCCUAACCAAUUUUGGCGGUUUGUUUCUUAUUACAGGGAUCUCUUUAACUCUAGCUCUUGUUAUAUUCUUACUUCCUUCAAUUUACAAAAAAAAUGCUUUCUGGAAAGGUGGGGUAUUGGAAAGAAAAAGUAGUACUUCAUUGUAAUUAUCAUUAAGGUAAGGCAUCCAUUUUAGGUUGCAUUUCAUUAAUUCAUCACUCUUUUACUAAAUUAUAUAUAUAUGUCCGUUUUAGUAAUCUUUAAUCACGUAAGACCAUUAUAAAUAUUACCUAUCUAUCUCGGAGUACUGAAGUAGAUUCCAAACAUUUAUAGUCAUUAUAUAUUUAUUUAUUGAAAUUUUGAUGUUAUAAGUGUCGUCAUGCAUGUUAUAGUGCGCAAUGAAAUAUGUAUCAAGAAUUUAUUAACAAGGUUACACAACUCACAAAAAUAAUCCAAACAAAUAAAUUAUAACACCUAUGCCGCCGUGCAUCAGAUCGAACUUCUUAUUGAGUUAUAAGAAUAUAGAAAUUAUUUUGGGCUCACUUAGCUAGUGAGCAUUUUGCACUCACUAAGCUCGUAAGCUUUACUGAUCAUAAACUAGAUCAUUGGCUGCACAAAAGUCUAAAAUGGGCCUUGUGGAAAAUAAUUUUAGCCCAACCCAAUGGGAUCAACUGAAGAGGAUCCACAUGAAUCAAAUAGGGAAUAGGUAUAAAACUUAGAGUUGAUUUGACAGCUCUUUGUGAGGCAGGCACGCUGGACAGCUGGCAAUUGGCAAAGGAGUCGCUUUCGUUUCUGAGUCCGGAUUCGACUGUUUUCACCCUUCGGCUUCCCGCACCGUUCUAUAGUCAUAAAAACGAUUUGAUUUUAAAAGUUUUAUAAUCGUUCGUAAUAUAUUUUAGAAAACGUAAGGCCACGCACAUCAGGCAAGGUCUUAAUUAAUUUUAUAAGCUCUAUCGCCUAUAAAUUUAUUUUGUAUUUAUUUUUUGAAGUCAGAGUAAGGAAUAUAAUUUUUUUUAUUCUAUUAUUUAUUUAUAUAUUUUGAGAGAGGAUUGGGCAUCCCACUUCGUGAGCCUCAUCAAUUUUUAGAGUAAAAGUAUAACUCUUUUAUUAAAUUUAAUAUAAUUAUAUUUAAUAAAAUAAAAUAAAUAAUAUUAUUAUAUUAAUAAAGAAUUAAUAAUAUUACUAUAUAUUAUAUUUAUUUCUGCUGUACCGUACAUCCGCCUUGGCCGUACAGCAGAACUUGUAUUUAUAUCUUCUGUGAAUCAUACGAUAAUCACAUAAAUACAUAUAAUAUGAUUAAACGGACUUUAUUCAAAAUAUUUAUGCAAUUAAGAUGUUUGAAAAAUAUCUCAAACAUUUUAUUAAUAAAAAAAUAUCAAAGGUAAAAUUAUAAUUUGAAACUAUUUACUCCUAAUCCAAGAUAAAGUAAAUACAUAAAUUAUAUUCUGAUCUUCAUUAUAUGUUUAUAUUUAAGUGUAAAUAAACAAAGUACUCUCAUUCUCACUCCACACUCUCAAUCACAGGAUCCCCACUCUUCAGGAUUCUCACUCCAAUCCAAAAUGUAAAUGUUACCUUAAGCGACCAAUUAAUAAAUCUGAGGACAAAAUACAACUUUACAACACAACAAAAAGUUUGAUUAAAAAAUAUUAAAAACUAUGCAAAUCUUCUUAUUUCGCUGAAAAUUGUAUUGUGUUUUCGUUUAGCACACACCAAACUCCUUUUUAUGGUACAGUUUUUACCAAAUUACUUUUUUCAUCGAUAAUAGGAUCACAUAGAGUAUAUCUUACUGAAAUAAGGGAAGCUUUCAUACAAUGGUAUGUGUGAUAUGAGGAAGAAACAAGAAAAAUAACAAUAAAAUUAUUGAUUAUUAGUUGGCAUUUAAUAAUACCAAUAUGGUUAUUGAUUCAUAUGGAAGAAAGAACCAAGAUAAGUAAGAUUCCACCCAAACUAGGGGGAUACAUUGAUUUAUAUUUACAGAUAAAAUUCUCUUGCAAAUACAAUGCAAGGAGAUACUAAAAUUUUAUGAUGUACAUUCUGUAAUUUCCGGACACUUCUGACUCCAAGACUCCAGCAUCCACUUAAAAGUAAAAAGCUAACUCAAACCACCACCCAGCGGCACUUUUGUUUCUCAAACUACACUCCAUACCUCCACAUACAAGUUACUCAAUGCCCUAGUGAAUCAGUAAUCAUCAAGAGUAUAUUAUAUAGGAAACAAAAUGUUACUCAUUACACUUUUCAUCAUCCAACAGUUCGUGCAAAGCAAAAGACAGCAAAAAUGCAGCAUGCUGAAAUCUUUGCAGUUAUAUAUAUCACAAGUAUCUAACCCAGCAUUAGAAGCAGCUCUUUCUUAAUGUGUAUGUUAGUCGGGGACUGUGUAGACACAGGAAUAACUUGCAUUUGCAAUGUACAACCAAAAUACUUCGCCACAACAAAUAUAAUUAAUCAGCAGCUUUAGGUCCUUCCUUUGCUAUGCAUCCAUCUCUUGACCAGCAAAAGAUUCUUCCAAGAUUCAAAUGAUAUGCCGAUUACUCCUGUUCAGGCUACUUUCUCACCAGGAUUCUCUACAUGCUUGCCAUAUGUAUAACAUCGGUUCCAUUUCCUUCCAAUUUGAGAAAUCACCAAAGACUUCUAAAUUAAAAUGUAGAAAACCUAAAAAACAAUGAGCAAAUAACAACCUCGUUCUUCAAGCCAUCGUAUACUCAUUGAUUUUCUAUUUGUGAAAGUACAUCAACAAAUGGUUAGAAGAAGGAAAUACUCAAUAAUAGAGCCCAUCUUUUUUCUCAUGGCAGUGGCAACCUUCUACAAUGCAAAAUGAUUUCAUUUAUAUAACUGUUCAAGAAAGUGAAUGAAUAACCAACCUCAUUGUACAAAUUACCUCAUCCAAGUGAAGCCAGCCAUAAAGCCAAAUUAAUGCAGUUGGCACAGAAAGUGAAUCAGAUUUUCUAUUCAACUUCACCCAAGUAUAGAUUUUGAUUUUUGACCCUGAUGUUCAAGAUGAAACAUGCCUCACUGGUUUGAAAAAAAAAGUUAUUUAAACUGUUGUAACACUAAAGUAAAUUGCAUACAUAUACUAAAUGCAAAAACAAAUGGACCUUUUGCUAUUUUAUAUCCAUUAUAACCUGGUAAAUAUAAUGUUUGAUAAAGACUUGUAUAGUUUAAAGUUCUUUCAGAUUGAGUUUUUUCGGAUUGAGCUUUGGCAUAGAUUGAAUAAGUCUUUCAUCCACGUCCAAAAAAUCCAGUUUUCAAACAAAAGCAAGGUUUGAUGAUGUAGCAUUCGAGAAUAACCCAAGAUCUUUGAAUCCACAAAUCUGCAUGAGAUAAAACUUGUAGUAUAUCAUCAACUUAGUCAGAAGCAAGAAAACCAUAACUUCAUAUGUGCAUAAAUGUUCCAUGGUGUCAAUGAACGAUACUAACGUACAAAUUGUGGCUUGGCAAUUACCAUACAAGAAAGCAUGAUAGCUUGCUUAAUUAGUGAUUACUAUUGCUGCACAGAUGACUUAAAUUAGAAGAAUUAAUGCUACACAUGCAUAAUUUGAAAUAUAAAAGUCAUAUCAGAGCUGAUCUGCUGGUUAAUUUGGUACCCCUGUAAGACUUUCCUAUGAAUAUUAGAAUAAUUUACAACAACCUCUACGGUGCUAAGUCAAUUACCACCUCAUAUCCCAAGCUCAUAUGCAUAGCAUUAUUGGAAAAGAUGGGAUGCAAACAUUAGAGCAAAUACUUACAAAUAUUAGAAAUACACAAAUCGAGUAAAAGUUUUCACUUACCCUAUAACAAUGAUCUAUUUAUUUUAUUAAUGGUAGGAAAAAUGAUCCAUAAAAGAAUAUAUAUAUAUAUUUGAAAAAAAGGUUCCAUUGUGCUUGAUUGACAUUAGGCCAUCAACCAAACUAAAUGUUUGAUAUCUAGAUAAAUAUGAUAUGAGGAACAAUAACAAUCCAAACCCAUAGUGAUAUGAAUUAUUGUGGGGGAAAAAAAAUAUAUCCUGUAGGUUAUGUACCCUCUUUAUUUAAUUUAUUCAUCAUACAUUCUUGUGUAUUAUAGUAAGUGCUAAAAAAUAGAAAGAACUUAAGGCUGAAACCUUAAAACCUAAAAAUUUCUCUCAGAAAGGGAAAAAAAUGAAAUAGUCAAAAUAUUUACACAACAUAAGAAAAUAGGCAAAAUAAAGAAGUGGAUAGAGAAAAGCAACUAAAAAUCUCCUUCAAUUUUUUUUUUUCAUCUUCACAGCACUAAAUACUAUGUUAGCAUCAUGUAUGAAGAAUGCCUUAUGUUCGGACCAACAGAAGGAAAUCCAUGUUGGUCACAGCCUCUCAAUACCAGAACAACGGAUCCUAUUAGAUAUUAAUGGCAGUGAGCUGGUUGUUUCUUCCAUUUCAAAAUUAUUUACACUUACACAAUAUGCUUUGCCAGUUAAUUUUUUGUUUUUCCCAACUCUAAAAAUUAUUACACCACCUUGCUUCAAAGCAUCAAAAGUAAUUGAAAUUCAUCUUUUACAAUAAAAAUCAACAAUAAAAUUGAUGAAUCUAAAUAAUAUGACGUAAGAUAGAAAAACUAAAAACCUUUAUAAUAAAUGAUAAGAAUACCUCAAAUCUGAAUUUCAGCUUUGAAAAUUAAGAUUACCAUACAAGAAAGUAUGAUAGCUUGCUUAAUUAGUGAUUACUAUUGCUGCACAGAUGACUUAAAUUAGAAGAAUUAAUGCUACACAUGCAUAAUUUGAAAUAUAAAAGUCAUAUCAGAGCUGAUCUGCUGGUUAAUUUGGUACCCCUGUAAGACUUUCCUAUGAAUAUUAGAAUAAUUUACAACAACCUCUACGGUGCUAAGUCAAUUACCACCUCAUAUCCCAAGCUCAUAUGCAUAGCAUUAUUGGAAAAGAUGGGAUGCAAACAUUAGAGCAAAUACUUACAAAUAUUAGAAAUACACAAAUCGAGUAAAAGUUUUCACUUACCCUAUAACAAUGAUCUAUUUAUUUUAUUAAUGGUAGGAAAAAUGAUCCAUAAAAGAAUAUAUAUAUAUAUUUGAAAAAAAGGUUCCAUUGUGCUUGAUUGACAUUAGGCCAUCAACCAAACUAAAUGUUUGAUAUCUAGAUAAAUAUGAUAUGAGGAACAAUAACAAUCCAAACCCAUAGUGAUAUGAAUUAUUGUUGGAAAAAAAAAUAUAUAUCCUGUAGGUUAUGUACCCUCUUUAUUUAAUUUAUUCAUCAUAUAUUCUUGUGUAUUAUAGUAAGUGCUAAAAAAUAGAAAGAACUUAAGGCUGAAACCUUAAAACCUAAAAAUUUCUCUCAGAAAGGGAAAAAAAUGAAAUAGUCAAAAUAUUUACACAACAUAAGAAAAUAGGCAAAAUAAAGAAGUGGAUAGAGAAAAGCAACUAAAAAUCUCCUUCAAUUUUUUUUUUUCAUCUUCACAGCACUAAAUACUAUGUUAGCAUCAUGUAUGAAGAAUGCCUUAUGUUCGGACCAACAGAAGGAAAUCCAUGUUGGUCACAGCCUCUCAAUACCAGAACAACAGAUCCUAUUAGAUAUUAAUGGCAGUGAGCUGGUUGUUUCUUCCAUUUCAAAAUUAUUUACACUUACACAAUAUGCUUAGCCAGUUAAUUUUUUGUUUUUCCUAACUCUAAAAAUUAUUACACCACCUUGCUUCAAAGCAUCAAAAGUAAUUGAAAUUCAUCUUUUACAAUAAAAAUCAACAAUAAAAUUGAUGAAUCUAAAUAAUAUGACGUAAGAUAGAAAAACUAAAAACCUUUAUAAUAAAUGAUAAGAAUACCUCAAAUCUGAAUUUCAGCUUUGAAAAUUAAGAAUACAGAAUCACCUGCUUCAGUUCAGUUGCUAUUAUAGAGUGCCGACAGACAAUAUUCAACUGCUUUAAGCAAAUUUUAUGACAAUGGUAGAGAGCACGCUAGUAGACAGCCUUGCCAUUUGCACGAAUGCUGACAGGUGUGCUCUCUCUCAUUGUCAAGCAAAUUUGUAUUGAGUCUGGGCAAGGAUUAUAUAUCUGCAUAAAAAAGUAAUAAUACAAUCAGAAAACCUUCUAAUAGAACUUCCAAAAUCAACUUUGUUUAAUCUAAUGGCAGAUGGACAACAACCAAUACUUUGAAUUUCAAUUACCAUAUUUACUUAUAUUGGAGCAGCUUAAAGAGAAGCAUGAUCCAACUAGAAUUUUAUUCAAAGCCAAUGAAGUUUCAAAUUCAUGCACAAUCUGGAUUGUCGACUCAAAGGCUAAAAUAACAUCAAUGACCAUUCAUUCUUCCUUCUUUACAAGAGAAAGCAAAGUUUACAUCAUAAGAUAAAUGGCAUAUUCUUUUGAGCAGAAACUAAGGAGCAUUAUCACAUACAAUUAAUCAUCCAAAACCUUAACAGAGCUAGAAUUAAACAAAAGUAUGAGAAAAUGAAAGAUUGACAAAAAGAAAACAUGAGUAAAAUCAGAAGCGGCGGCCGGCAAUUGAGAAUAAAAUAUUAGAGCUUUGCCUUUACUAAUAUAUAUUUUAAAAAAGAAAAAGGAAAGAAAGAAAAACAGUAAAAGCUAUAAGAAUAUAUUUUUCUAGAAAAGGAAAGAAACUUCCUAACCCAAUCUAAAAAAUGCUAGGGGAAAAAAAUCCAUUAAACCCUAAUGCCAUGCCCCCUUAGAAAAAGAACGAAGAAAACAGCAGAUAAGAAAUUCUUUUAUUAAAAAAAAAGUUAAAAGAUAACAAAACACUAACAUACAUGAAAGCCAACUUUUAACUUGUUAAAAACUCUCUUUCAAGUUUAACUUGCACUAGAUAGAAUUCUCAGAUCCCAAUUCCCAACCCAUAUCAUCAAGCAAACAAACAAACAUACACUGGUACUGCACUAAAUAUAAAAUCUAAAGCAAGAAGCAAAAUAAGAAAAAACAAGCAAAAAACUACUUUCGUGCUGAAAAUUAAAUAAAAAAUUUUAAGAAGAAAUAAAAGAAAUUGCCAUACAUUGAGAGUCAUUUAUAGACCUUGAAAAUGUGAAAUGACAUGGCGGGCUGAUCACUUGGAGAUCCCAACAGCAGCACACACCGCGCUGGAAGACCAACCAUUUGUCAGAGAAAUAAGAAUUAGAAGUACCUACCUAAAGAAGAGAGAAAAAUAUAAUUGGCAAAUAAUUAAUUAAUUAAUAAUAGUAUAAUUACACAUGAUGCAAGUAGUUGAUUACUUUUUACCAUUCAUCAUGUAAUGUGUUACUGGGGUCACCAUCAACUCUUAGAGUCUACAGUCAGGAUUCAUCCACGUAUGUCAGAUCCUCAUAUGAUAUUAUGAUGUGUGUAAUGUAGUAAAAAGUAACAGAAGUACAAGACAGGUUAAAUAUUAAAUGCACCUUUCGAAAUCCAUGACUGGUUCACGUGAUUUUACUGCGAGUGAAAUGCACGUAUUUUUUUUUGGUGGGGUUAAAUGUCAUCAUCCGAGUUGGAGUGAAGUCACAUCAAACCGUUCAAUGCUGCGGGACCCGUUGGAGUGAUAAUUUUAAAGGUCAUACCACGCAUUUAUUAGAGGGCUGUAGCCCUAGCACUAUUGAAUUUGUAUUCAGCUAUUGACGCCUUUAAAAACUCUUACAAAAUUCUUUUUAUGAAUGGUUAUGGUUAUUUUAGAGUUAUUUUAGAAUAAAAUUUAAAUUAUAAUUAUAUACAUAAUAAAUAAUAAAAAAUAUAUUAUAAUUUUAAUUGAUCAUAAGAGAAUGUUUUAUUGUGAAAUAGUUUCAAUAUAGUCGAUUUUUUUUAAAAUAUCCUUCAAUUAAUGAAUAAAUUUAUUUUUGGAUAGAGUUGUUAUUAUUUAUUAAGUUUUUCAUUGCACUCUUUUUUCAAUUAAAAAUUUUAUUAUGAAGAUAUAAUAUAAUCAUUCAUGAAUCAAUGGUAAUUUUAUUAUUUAAUCUUACUAUCUCUUUUAAUAUCUCCUUUCUUUAUUAAAAUUUAUUAUGAUACAUAAAGUAAAUAUUAUAUUCAACAAACAAAAUUGUUUAAACAUUAACAAAUUCAACGUUAUUGCAAGUUAAAAAAAAUGAAAGGAUCCAUAUCCAUUAUGUAAAAUUAAAAAAUAAGUUUUUUUUGUACCACUUUGAAUUUAUUAAAUUUUUUUAGUCAAAUCUUAGAAGCAAAUUUUUUUAAUAAUAAUAGGAGGCAAAUCUAGAGAUGUUAUAGUAAAAAAUAAGGGAAAGGUAAAGUUGAUUUAGCAAAAAAAGAAUAAAGAAAGAAAAAUUGAAAGAGAGAGAAAUCAGUUUAAUUUUUUACCAUUAUUACAGUAGUGACAAAAAGUAAUUAAUCAAUGGUAAUUUUAUGAUUUUUGAGAAUUAAUGAAUUAAAAUAAUAAAUUAAAAUUUGAUAAUUAUUUUAAUUAAAAAUUGGGUGUUGAAAAAAAUGGAUGGGUUUAAAUAACUCCACCAUUUGUUUAAUCAUUUACCCUAUAAUUAAUUCCAUAACUAUCCUUACCUAUUUCAUUUGACCUUUUCUUCCCCUUUUUUAAAGAAUUGAUUAAUAAAUGCUUCCACCUUCAACAAUGGUAGAAAGUGCUUAUGAAAUCUUAUAUUUUAUUUUAUUACCGCAGUUAAAAAUUUGUUGAUAUCAUAAGCACAUUUAAAAAAAUUCACGUUGAAGGAAAAAUGCAUUGUUCAACUGUGAAAAAGAUAUUAUUUUUUAACCACUAAAAAUUUUCAGACAUAUCAAUUCAAUAUUAAGGCUUCCUGAAACCUACAUUUUAUCGCCUAAUGUUUUAGUUGCUAUUACUUUAUCACCAAAACAUUAACAAGUAAAAAUUUGCUAACGUCAUAAGCGUAUUUAAGGAAUUCCAUGUUAAAGCAAAAAAUUAACACAAUUGUUAAAUGAUGAAUGUUAAAUUUGGGGUAUUUAGCGUGCUAUUGUAAUGUUUGAAAUGGUUUAAUGCUACUGAUAUUGAAAGACAUUAUCAAAACUAAAGUUUUUAGCUUGUAUUGCUUGGAAUUUCGAUAUUUGAAUGCAUAAUAGCAUGCUUAUAUAAUAAUAAAAAAGAAAAGUAUUUUUUUAAUAUAACUAUUAUUUUUUAACGUAAUUUCUCUUUUCUAAUUUAUUUCUUUUCAAUUGACAGUAUCAUCUUUUACGCUCCAGGUUAAAUAUUUAAUUAUUUUUAACAUUUUUUUGUGGUAAAGUGAUAAUAGUUUAAAUAUUAGGUGGUAAAUAUAGUUUUGAGGAAAUCUUGGUACUAAAUUAAUAUAUCAGAAAACUUCCAAUGGAGAAAUGAUAUAUUUUUUCGGUAAUUUCUUUCUUUUCAAAGGAAAAAAAAUUGUCUUUUACGCUUCAAAAACAAAAUCGAUAUUUAACUCAUAUUCCAUUAAAUAUUAACUUAUUUUUAGCAGAAUGGUAGUAAAGCGAUAACAGUGUAAACAUUUUAUGGCAAAAUACAAUUUUCACCCCUCCUCGUUCUUUUUAUUUAGUAGUAACUAAUCAUUAAUCAAUCUUUCACUAUUUGCCAUUUCAAAUUUGAGCAAAAAUCUCUAUGUUUUCUCUUCUCGCUUACUUACUAGUUACUAGUUGAAAUAAAAAGAAAAAAGAAAAUUGCAUUAGAAUCUAGCAUUGUGAUAAUAAAAUUAUGAAUAUUUUCUAACUUUUUGAGCACUAGUAUUUUUUGGGGAAAAAAAUUAAGUAACUCUUUUGAAGUUAAAUUAAUUUUAAGAUCUGAAAAGAAUUAAAUAUGACCAAAUAAACUUACAUCUUAAUGAGAAGAAAAAUGAAGGGAAAGGGCUAUAAAUAUCAAAGUAUACGCAUGAUAUAGUAUAUGAUAUUUAGAGAUAUAAUAGCUGUAAAAUUUUGUUGAGAGAAGAAUUACCCAAAAAAGUAGUUAAAAUAAUAGUGAAUUGAUGGCCAUCUUAAAAAAAAUCAUCUAAUUUACCUACGAUUAGAAGUAAUACUUAUUUUAAAAUAUGUCAGUUAUCUUUUUAUAUAAUUUUAAAUAGGGAUAAAAUUGUAACGUUAGGAAAAGGUUAUGACUACCUUGGAGCUGCUCUAAAGUAGAGUACGAAUCACAACCACACAUGCAAAGUGAUAAAUAGUAAAAAAAAAAAACUCAUUAUAAAUUUGAUCGUGUGAUUAUGAAAGAGUGUUCUACCUUAGAGCGGUUUCAAUAUAGCCAGACCCUCAAGAAAAAUGCUUCAUAAGGAUUUUUUUUAGGGGUAUCGAUAGCAUAACUCUAGAAUUUUGGGUUUAGGCCCAUCUUAAAAUCACAGCUCUAGUAAAAAUUGUGAUAUUCGACCCCCUCAAUUUAUUUCAUCCACCUCCACUUUUUAAUUAAUUUUAUUAGUUUCUAAGAGUACCUCCACUUUUCAAUUAAUUUUAUUAAUUUCUAAAAGUGCCCUAAUUAAAAAAUAAAAACAAAUUUAAAAAAAACUACUUUUUUUCUUCUCUAUCUAUACACUCCCUUUCGUACAUUAAUCAACCUCUCAAUCUCAAUGAUAGGUAACCACAUUGCAAACCCAUUUAAAUCUAGUUGUUUCUUUAACAUUAUUUCAACCACCAUGACAUUGCCAACAAUCGCAGCAAUUGAAACUGCCAUAGUCUCUGUUAGGAAAUUAAGUUUCCUCCCAAGAUCACUCCAAGCAAUUUGUCAAGCAACAAAUCAAUAGAAAAAUUAAAUGAAGAAUACAUCAAUCCCACAACACAAGAUUUACUUAGAAAACUCAAAAUCCGGAGAACAACCACGGCUGUUGUCAAAAAGACAACUAAAGAAAAAUAUUCAAUAUGUAGAAAAUUAUUACAACUACACUCUCAGAAAUAAUUUUCUUUCGCCCAAGCCCUAAAUACACCCAAAACUCUCAACUUAAGAGUAAUUAUAUUCAACUCUCAAAUUCUCUCUAAAUACAAGAGGAAGCAAAUAUUUGGGAUGAUAAAACUUAUGAAAUGAUCUCCUAUUUAUAACCAAACGGAUAGCAUUGUUCAAACCGCGUUACUGUUUAAACCGCGCGGUCAAACCGUAUUACUAUUCACCACGUGGUCAAACCAUAUUUUUAACAAUUCUCUCACUUGGAGAUUAGAUUGAGGACCAAUUAAUCUCCAUACCAUCCUUACUGUCUUCACCUUAGUCAUAAUUCUUAACAUAGAGAAUUAUCAUACUCUACCAUAAAGAGUAUAUCAUUUAGAAUUAAUUAUCAAUUCUAAGAAUUUUACAUCGGCACAUAUCGAAAUAUCCUGCUGAAAUUUAUAGUGCAACUUCCAUGUUGGCUUUCUUAGAAGUUCGUCAGCCAUCGAUAUAAAUUCCACCACACACCUUACAUUAAUGUCAACCAUGCCUUGUGUGCAAAUUUUGUGGACCCCGUUAAUAGUAACAUGUUCUCUUUCAUGGCAACUUGAAAAUCCACAUGCCAAAAGAACUAACCUAGUCUCUUAUAAAAAAAAAAAAAAACUCACCACUUACGAGAAUAUCAAUAUCCCAUUUACUGAUUUUGGAGCAAUUUGUCGAGCCCACUCUACCUUCUUGAUAAUUUGCUUAAUGUGCCAAAUUGCCCACACCUUCAAAUCCUUAUGCAUACCAAAUUGGAUACGCCUUUGACUUGAAUCCACACGGAUUAUUUGGAUUGGCUCCCACUGCUCACGUGAAUAAUACCAUAUACGUCAACAAUAUCGAAUAUUGUUCAAACAUAUAGCAUUAUUCAAACUGCGUUCCUAUUCAUUCGUGUUACUAUUCAUGUCGCGUUACUGUUCAUGCCGAGUUACUGGUCAAACCGUGUUAUUGUUCACCGCGUGGUCAAACCCUAUUUUUAACUGCCCAGUCAUUGUUUAUGACAUGGAUGUGAGGGUUUCACUUACAAUUCAUUCAUUAGUUAGCUACAAAAGAAUUCUUCAACAAAACAAUUUUGAAAGAAAUGGAAAUACUAAUGUGAAAGGAAAAACAACCCCAAAAAAUUUCAUAUAAAAAUAUUAAUUCAAUUUUAAAUUCUUUUUUUUGGUUUAGUUUUACAGUCAACAAAUUGUUGGCGUGAGUUGUCAAUUAAGAGAUAAAUCAGAGAGAUUAUAGAAGUUAACCAAAUCAUAAAGAUUUUAGGAAUAAGCCAUAAACUACCAAGCCAUUAUUCUAGCAGUAAAAAUCUGUAUAGCCCAAAAAUAGCGUAGCAAAUCUCUCUAUAAAUGUAUACAAUACCUCUGUAACUUUAUGCAUGAGAAAUAUACUGAAACAAAUUGACACAAAUUUCAUACAUAUAGUAGAAGUUUUGUUCCCAUACUGGGUUUCAACUGAUAUGAAAUUAAAGUGAAAAAUAGAACAGAUGAAACAUGUUUUCCAAAACUAAAAAAUAUAAUAAUGUUUUUCUUUUCUUUUAAGUUUCAUAACAUGGUAAGUCCACAAUCAAUCUAAUUCAAAAUGAAACAUAAUUUUCAAGCUGAACCUGGAAGAGUCUUACAGAAAGAUAUGAUAUUUUUAUUAAGUUUGUGAGGAAAAAUAAAAUAGAUUUAUUGGAAAAGAGAUCUUAUUAGGGUAAUUUUAGAAAUAAGUUUGAGGGUCCGUGAGAUUAGUCAAGACAGUCAAAUACCACUGCUCCUCUAGUAAACCAAUAAUAUAUAUGUCACAGGUUUGGGGUAGUUUGAGAGUGUUAUAGAAGAAAAAAUAGAGGGUUGAGCAACGUUCAAGUCAAUUUUUUUUAUAAUUUUCUUAAAUUGGAUGGACAAUCGAGAUAAGAGUUCCUAUAUGUAGGGCAAGUUUUGAAGAUAGAAAUGCGCUACUUCAUUUGGAACUUGUGGGGAAAGAGAAGUUAGUUACAAUGUAAGGUCAGAAGGAAGUUAAAAAUCAUUAAAAAAAAAUUCUCAGUUGAUGGGACUCUGCAUCUUUGGGUCUUAUUUCAUUUCAAACUCGAUUAAAUUAAAUUUAAAUUUGAAUUUAAUGCAUUUUAUAAAUCUCAGGGAAUAAAUUUGUAACUUCAACUAAUUUAAUAGAGUAUGCCAUUUAAAUUUUUUAGGUAAGCGGAUGCAGCUUGUCCCUUAAUGGCUCUGCCACUACCUAUCCUUUUUUAAUUCCAUAGUAUUAAUUGGUUCAAAAACCCCAAUUUUCUAGAGAGUUAUUUGUCAAUUGAAAGAACUAAGAAUACGACAAUAGCAAGAGUCGAAGAGACCCCUAUUAUAAGAAACAAACACCAAAGUUAGUACAGAUUAGACUGGAUGGAUUACUCACAAAAUUAUUUGAUAGUUGGCUAUUAAACCAUACAUGUUCUUUUUUUGUAAGCAUCCUUCUUCUCUUAACUUUUCAAUAGUCUUUUAUAUGUCAUGGACCAAUAGUUAACCUUUCUAGGAAACCUACUCAAUAUAAAGGCAUAAAAGGGAAACCUAAGUUCCAUGUUUGUAUUGCCCAGACAUUUAGAGUGUUAUAUUGAAAAAAUAUUGUUGCUGUAUAUUGGGAGAUUGCUAAUUUCCUCCUACAAUAAUCAAGAUAUACCAUUUACCCCCUGCAAUUUUAUAAUAGUCAAUAACACCGACGGUAAAAGUUUAUAAUAUUACCCUUAUUUUCAAAUACACUCUUAUUCAUAUUUAUUGUAAAUUAAAUAAAUCACAUGAAUAGAAAUUAAAAUUAAAAAAAUAAGUAUUAAAAAAAUAUAUGUUUUGAUGUGAAAUAAUUAAUAAUAAAAUGUUUUUCUUGUACUUUCUUAUUUUAUAAACAGUUUCUUAUAAUGACUAUAUAAGAAAAUUAUUAUAAAAUAAAUAAUAAAAUAUUUUUGUUGUACUUUUUACAUUUAAUUUUAAAAUAUUAUAAAAUAUCUAUUAAAAGAAAAUGUUUACAAAAUAAAAAAGUAUAAGAAAAAAUUUUAUUAUUAAUUUUUUUUGUUCACAUCAAAAUAAAUAUUUCAUGUUUUUAAUACUUAUUUUUUUCAGUUUUUAUUCAUAUGAUUUAUAUUUUUUAAUUCAUUUUCUAUUCAUAUGAUUUAUUUAAUUUAUAAUAAAUAUAAAUAAAAGUGUAUUUAAAAUAGAAGUAAUAUUGUAAACUAAUGUUGUCGGGGGAGUUAUGGGCUAUUAUAAAAACAUUAAGGGAAUAAAUGACAUAUGUUAAUUAAAGUAGGGGGAGAGAUUAGCAAUCUCCCCAGAAAUUAAUUACUUUGUAAUUGGGCAUUAAUUUUUGUUUUUCAAGGGAGAGACCAUUUAGCGACUUGUCAAAGUUUGUAGUGAUUGUAAAGGGAUGGCAAAAUCCUCAAUGGGUUUGGGGCCCAUGGAACCCCACCCGAAAUGGAGAAAAUUUUUAAUAAUUUUUGGAGAAUGGGAGAAAAAUAAUCCCUAAAUUUUUAAUGGGGUGGGGUUUGGUUUUGUACUCCCACCCUAAUCCCCAUUAUAUAUAAAUAUUUUUUAAUUCUUAAUUAAUAAUUUUUAUUUUAUCAAAUAUAAUGUCAAUUAAUAAUUUUUUUUAUUUUUAUGUAAUAUAAACAAGAUAUAACUAAAAGAAUACCCUACAAUAUAAUUCUUUUUCGACUCUAAAAUAUUGUUAUAUUUUUUUUCUCUUUUACAUUGUUGCUCUCUUCAAACAUUUUUCAGUUUUGAUAUAAUUUUAAGAUAUUAUUUUAAACUUUUAGAGUUUUUUAAAUAAUUUCAAUAUUUUAUAAUAUGAUGAUAUUUUUAUUUUAAGUCUCUGAUUUUUAAUUUAUUGAAAUUAUAUAUUUAUAUCAACUAUAAAAUAAGUAAAUAGGGAAUGAGGUGGGGAUGAGAAAUCAUUCUCCAAGUGGGGAUUCCCCAUCUCCACCCCACUAAAUUUAUUGGAGAAUGGAGUGGGAAAUGGAGGCAAAAAUUUUUAGUGGGGUGGGGAAUGAGGUAAACCUCCCCACCCCCACCCCACAUCAUUGCCCUCCCUCAUUGUAUGGUGUUUGUAGUGCUUAUAUUGUGCUCAAGCUACACGGCAACUUUAGCCUCUAUGUUAACCAUUCAACAUAUUAAGUCGGCCUCAAUGGACAAUGUGGGAUCUCAACUGGGAUCGGUUGUUCCAGGAGCUCUAAGCAACUUAAAUUUUAAAUAUUUCGGGGUAAAGAAACACAAUUCUGCUGAAGAAUAUGCCAAUGCUCUGUCCAGGGGGAGUAAGGAUGGUCGCAUUUCUGCCAUUAUUGAUGAAAUGCCAUACGUCAAGGCCUUCUUUGCCAAGUAUUCUGCCCAUUACACCAUGAUUGCACCCAAGUAUACCACCAGUACCAAUGGUUUUGGCUUUGUGAGUAUCUCUACUAACAAUAUUAUAUUUAAGUAAUUAACCUCAUACAGAUUACGCAAAAGCAAUUUUGUAACUAAAUUUUUUAUGUAUCCUCCAGGUUUUUCAAAAGGGUUCACCAUUGGUCCAUGACAUAUCAAGGGCUAUUACAAGGCUAAGAGAAGAAGGGAUUCUUACAAAGAUUGAAAAUGGAUGGUUUAAUGACAGGCAAUCAAGUUUUAUGCACGAGGAUUCCAUACGUAAUAACCCAUCAAGUCUGAGCCUAACCAACUUUGGCGAUUUAUUCCUUGUUACAGGGAUCUCUUGCACUCUAGCUCUUGUUAUAUUCUUACUUCCUUCAAUUUACAAAAAAAAAUCUCUUCUAAAAAGGUGGGUUGUUGGAAAGAAAAAGUAGUACUUCGUUGAAAUUAUCAUUAAGGUAAAGUAACUAACAUAGGGCAUCUUCAAUCACACAAGGUCAUUCUAAAUAUUACCUAUCCAUCUCAAAAUACUAAAGUGAAUUCCAAACAUCUAUAGUCGUUAUAUAUUUAUUUAUUAGAGUCUUAAUGUUAUAUGCGUCGUCACGCAUGUUAUGGUGCGCAACGGGAUGUGUGUCAAUAAUUUAUUAACAAAGUUAUACGGCUCAUAAAAUAACCCAACCAAAUAAAAUUUAACAUGUAUCCCGUCGUGCAUCAGAUCAAAAUUCUUACUCACUGAGUUAUUUGAACAUGGGAAUUAUUUUGUACUCACUACGCUAGUAAGCAUUUUGUACUCACUAAGUUAGUAAGCCUUACCAGUCAUAAAUUAGAUUAUCGGCUGGACAAAAGUCUAAAAUGAGCCUCAUGGAAAUAUUUUUAGCCCAACUCAACGGGGAUAAACUCAAGAGGAGGACGCACAUGAAUCUAAUAAGGUAGUGUUUACUUGCUGGAGUGGGAGUGUGGAGUGUGGAUUCCUCCCACUCCAGCGUUUACUUACCUUAAAAAAUGGGGGAGUGGGAGUGGGAAUCCGUGGGUCCCACUCAAUUUUGGAGUGGGGAGUGGGAUUCCCGCUCCCAUGGGAGGAGGUGGGAGUGGGAAUCCACUCCCCCUUCUUCCCAUUUUAUCCUUAUAAUUAAAAUUAAAAUAAAUAAAUAAUAUUUAAUAAAAUAAAUAAAUAAAAUUUAAUAAAAUAAAUAAAUAAUAUUUAAUAACAUAAAUAAAUAAUAUUUAAUAAAAUAAAUAAUAUCAUAUUUAUUAAAAAUAAUAAUUAUAUCAUAUUUAUUUUAUUAAAUUUAAUAAAAUAAAAAUAAUGGCUGUUUUACUUGAUAAACUCCGUAGUUAAGCAUUCUUAUGCUAGAGUAAUUCAAUGUCACAUGUUCCAUACGUGGGUUAGUACAAUUUAUAGCUGCUUGUAUCUACGAGCGAACGAUUUGAAUUGAACUCGCGCAUGGUGGAUUCACAAUCCACGCCCUUGAUCCACUUGGCUACAUCAGCCCCUCGGCUACAAAUAAUUUAAUUAACGCGGUAAAUUCGAUCGAAGAGCUUUAAGAGUAAAGCAUUGAAUAUUCCUUAACCUCAUCUUAAGCAUAUAAAAAUUAAAACAGGUUCGUUUCGCUUUUGAUUGCCAUGAAAAAUAUAAAAGCAUAAAACAUACACCUCAAAGAAGAUUUACACUUUAAUAGCAUCUGUCGGUUACUCUUGUUUACGUUUCUCGAACAGUCAAUUAGUUUGAUCCAAACCAUGAACUGCUUUGUGUUUGCUCCAUCAGCAUAUACUGCCAUUAAUCCCAAAAAAAUGAACUACUGUUGUUUAUGAAAGAUUGAUCCAAGGAGUUGAUGUGGAUAAAUUCUUUAACCACAAGUUGACGAAUAGUGGAUAUAAUAAUUAGACUUUAAACAAAUGUGAGAUCACUAAAAUUAAUAUAAAUAAAUAAAUAAAUAGUCAUAUUUUGAUAAAUGUAAUGAGUAGUAGUACACUUCUCAUAUAAUAUUCCAAGCGACAAAGGGAAGCAAUUAAGGCAGUGUUUACUUUCUGGAGUGGGAGUGUGGAGUGUGGAUUCCUCCCACUCCAGUGUUUACUUACCUUAAAAAAAAGGAGAGUAGGAGUGGGAAUCUUUGGGUCCCACCCAAUUUUGGAGUGGGGAGUGGGAUUCCCGCUCCCAUGGGAGGAGGUGGGAGUGGGAAUCCACUCCCCCUUCUUCCCAUUUUAUCCUUAUAAUUAAAAUUAAAAUAAAUAAAUAAUAUUUAAUAAAAUAAAUAAAUAAAAUUUAAUAAAAUAAAUAAAUAAUAUUUAAUAACAUAAAUAAAUAAUAUUUAAUAAAAUAAAUAAUAUCAUAUUUAUUAAAAAUAAUAAUUAUAUCAUAUUUCUAUAUUAAUUUUGUACUAUAUUAUCAAUAAUAAUAUUUCAUUUGUGUUGCUAUUAUUAAUAAUUUUUAUUCACAUAAUUUAAAUUAAAAUUAAUAAAAACUAUGAUUUACAUAAUUAAGAAUAUUAGUAAUUAUUAUUAAUUUAUAAAUAUAAUAAAAUAUUUAUUUUAUUUUCCAAAUAUAUUUUUUAUUAAUUUUUUAAUUACAAAUUAUAAUUCUGUACAUAAGGAUAAAAUUGUAAUUUAAAAUAAUUUACUCCCAAUCCAAGACAAAGUAAACAAAUAAUUGAGAUUCUGAUUGACAAUCCAUACUUUCAUUUAGUCUAAGUAAACACCAUACUCCUACUCUCACUCCACACCCCUAAUCCAAGGAUUCUCACUCUUCAGGAUUUCCACUCCACUCCAAUCCAAAAAGUAAACGCAGCAUAAGAGUAAUCGCCUAACAGGUACAAAAGUAUAGGUCGAUUUGAUAGCUAUCUGUCAGGCAGGCCUGAGGACAGCUGGAAAAGAUGUCGCCUCGUUUCUAGCUCCGGGUUCGGCAGUUUUCACCCUUCUGGCUUCUCGAACCCUUCAAGAGUCUAAAAAAGUUUCAUAAUUUGUUUUAGAAAAAGUAAGGGGACGCACAUUUGGUAACGUCUUAAUUAAUUUUAUAACCCCAAUCGCCAAGAAAUUUAGGCGACCAACUAAUAAAACAAAGAGCAAAACACAGUUUUAUAACACAACAAAAAGUUUGAUUGAAAAAUAUUAAAAGCCAUACAAACCUUCUUAUUUCGCUGAAAAUUAAACUAUAUUUUCUUUUAGCAAACACCAAACUCUCUUUUAUGAAUACAAUUUUUACCACAUUUCUUUUUUCAUAGAUAAUAGGAUCACAUAGAAUAUAUCUUAGUGAAAUAAGAGAAGCUUUCAUACAAUGGUAGGUGUAAUAUGAAGAAGAAACAAGAAAAAUGACAAUGUAAUUAUUGAUUAUUAGUUGGCACUAUCGAUGUGGUUAUUGAUUCAUACAGAAGAAAGAACAAGAUAAGUAAGAUUCCAUCCAAACCAUGGGGAUACAUUGAUUUAUAUUUACAACUAAAAUUCUCUUGCAAAUACAAUGCAAGGAGAUACUAAAAUUUUAUUAAGUACAUUUUGUAAUUUCCAGACUCCGAGACCCCAGCAUCCACCUAAAAGUAAAAAGCUAACAUGAACCACCACUCAGCGACACUUUUCUUUCUCAAACUACACUCCAAACCUCCAUAUACAAGUUACUCAAUACCCCAGUGAAUCAGUGAUUAUCAAGAAUAGAUUAUAUUGGACGCAACAAAUACAAGUUACUCAAGAAAAGACAGCCAAAAUGCAGUAUGCUGAAAUCUUUGCAGUUAUAUAUAUCACAAGUAUCUAACCCGGUAUUAGAAGCAGCUCUUUCUUAAUGUGUUUGUUAGUCGGGGACUGUGUAGACACAGGAACAACUUGCAUUUGCGGUGUGCAACCAAAAUACUUCACCAGAAUAAAUAUAAUUAAUGAGCAGCUUUAGGUCCUUCCUUUGCCAUGCAUCUAUCUCUUGACCAGCAAAAGAUUCUUCCAAGAUUCAAACGAUAUGCCAAUUACUCCUGUUCGGGCUACUUUCUCGCCAGGUUUCUCUACAUGCUUGCCAUAUGCAUAGCAUCGGUUACAUAUCCUUCCAAUUUGAGAAAUCAUCAAAGACUUGUAAAUAAAAAAGUAGAAAAACCAAAAAUCAAUGAGUAAAUAACGUCUUUCUUCAAAUCAUCCUAUAUUCAUAUUGAUUUUCUAUUUGUGAAAGUAAAUCAACAAAUGAUUAGAAAUUAUUAAGAAAACUACAGAAAUUGUUGGCUGAAUGAAAGACCUAUUUUGUCUCCAUGAAGGGACAAGCAGUGAGCUUAGACUUACAAUCAACUGAAUCUCCAAGGUAACAUGAUGGAGAAGUCAACUGCAAGAUAUUCAAAAGAUCAAAGCCAACUGCAGUACCCUUGCAUGAACCAUUCCGCUCAGUGACCAUCAAAAGGCCUAUUUCGUCUCCAUCAAGCAAGAACUUCAGUGUGUCUUGCAAAUGAAGAAAAAGAGUGAAGGAAAUACUCAAUAAUAGAGCCCAUCUUUUUUUCUCAUGGCAGUGGCAACCUUCUACAAUUCAAAAUGAUUUCAUUUAUAUAGACGUUCAAGAAAGCGAAUGAAUAACCAAGCUCAUUGUACAGAUUACCUCAUCCAAGUAAAGUCAGCCAUAAAACCAAAUUAAUGCAUUUGGCACAGAAAGUGAAUCAGGAUUUUCUAUUCAACUCCUCCCAAGUAUAGAUUUUGAUUUUUGACCCUGAUGUUCAAGACGAAACGUGCAUCACUGGUUUAAAAAAAAAUGUUAUAUAAACUGUGUUAACACUAAAGUAAAUUGCAUACAUAUACUCAAUGCAAAAACAAAUGUACCUUUUGUUAUAUUUAUAUCCAUUACAACCUGGUAAAUAUAAUGUUAGAUAAAAGACUUGUGUGGUUUAAACUUUUUUUGGAUUGAGCUUUGGCAUAGAUUGAAUGUCUUUCAUCCAUGUCCAAAAAUCCAGUUUUCAAACAAAAGCAAGGUUUGAUCGAUUUAGCAUUUGAGAAUAACUCGAUCUUUGAAUCCACAAAUCUGCAUGAUAAAACUUGAAGUAUAUCAUCAACUUAGUCAGAAGCAAGAAAACCAUAACUUCGUAUGUGCAUACAUGGUCCAUGGCAUCAAUGAACGAUACUAACGUACAAAUUGUGGCUUCGCAAUUACCAUACAAGAAAGCAUGAUAGCUCGCUUGCUUAGUGAUUACAAUUGCUGCACAGAUGACUUAAAUUAGAAGAAUUAAUGCUACACAAACAUAGUUUGCAAUAUAAAAGUCAUAUCACAACUGAUCUGCUGGUUAAUUUGGCACCCCUGUAAGACUUUCCUAUGAAUAUUAGAAUAAUUUACGACAAACUGCACAGUGCUAAGUCAAUUACCACCUCAUAUCCCAAGUUCAUAUGUGUAGCAUUAUUGGAAAUGGAAUAAUUGUCCGGAAAAGAUAGGAUCCAAACAUUAUAGCAAAUACUUACAAAGAUUAGAAAUACAUAAAUGAAGUACAAGUUUUCACUUACCCUAUAACAAUGACCUAUUUAUUUUAUUAAUGGUAAGGAAAAAUCAAAAAAGAAAAUAUUUAUUUAUUAAAGAAAUAAAAAGGUUCCAUUGUCCUUGAUUGACAUUAGGCCAUCAACCAAACUAAAUGUUUGAUAUCUAGAUAAAUAUGAUAUGAGGAACAAUAACAAUCCAAACCCAUAGUGAUAUGAAUUAUUGUGGGGGAAAAAAAAUAUAUCCUGUAGGUUAUGUACCCUCUUUAUUUAAUUUAUUCAUCAUACAUUCUUGUGUAUUAUAGUAAGUGCUAAAAAAUAGAAAGAACUUAAGGCUGAAACCUUAAAACCUAAAAAUUUCUCUCAGAAAGGGAAAAAAAUGAAAUAGUCAAAAUAUUUACACAACAUAAGAAAAUAGGCAAAAUAAAGAAGUGGAUAGAGAAAAGCAACUAAAAAUCUCCUUCAAUUUUUUUUUUUCAUCUUCACAGCACUAAAUACUAUGUUAGCAUCAUGUAUGAAGAAUGCCGAACAGAUCCUAUUAGAUAUUAAUGGCAGUGAGCUAGUUAUUUCUUCCAUUUCAAAAUUAUUUACACUUACACCUUUGCCAGUUAAUUUUUUGUUUUUCCCAACUCUAAAAAUUAUUACACUGCCUUGCUUCAAAGCAUCAAAAGUAAUUCAAAUUCAUCUUUUACAAUAAAAAUCAACAAUAAAAUUGAUGAAUCUAAAUAACAUGACGAAAGAUAGAAAAACUACAAACCUCUAUAAUUAAUAAUAAGAAUACCUCAAAUCUGAAUUUCAGCUUUGAAAAUUAAGAGUACAGAAUCACCUGCUUCCGUUCUUUUGCUAUUAUAGAGAGCCAACAGAGAAUAUUCAACUGCGUUAAGCAAAUCGUAUGACAAUGGUAGAGAGCACGCUAGUAGACAGCCUUGCCAUUUGCACGAAUGCUGACGGGUGUGCUCUCUCUCAUUGUCAAACAAAGUUGUCUCGAGUCUGGGCAAGGAUUAUAUAUCUGCACCAAAAAGUAACAAUACAAUCAGAAAACCUUGCAACAAAGAAUGUUCAUUUGAAAAACUGCCUAUACAUUUUUCUCUCCUAUGAAUAUGAAGGAAAAAAAAAGAAAAACCAAUGUAUCCCUGAUCUCAAAAUACAAUUCUUCUAAUAGAACUUCCAAAAUCAACUUCUUUAAUCUAAUGGCAGCUGGACAACAACCAAUACUUUGAAUUUCAAUUACCAUGUUUACUAAUAUUGGAGCAGCUUAAAGAGAAGCAUGAUCCAACUAGAAUUUUCUUCGAAGCCAAUGAAGUUUCAAAUUCAUGCACAAUCUGGAUUGUCAACUCAAAGGCUAAAAUAACAUCAAUGACCAUUCAUUCUUUCUUCUUUACAAGAGAAAGAAAAGUUUACAUCAUAAGAUAAAUGGCAUAUUCUUUAGAGCAGAAAAUAAGUAGCAUUAUCAUAUACAAUUAAUCAUCUAAAGCCUCAACGGCUAGAAUUCAAUCAAAGCAAUAAAAGUGUAAGAAAAUGAAAGAUUGACAAAAAGAAAACAUAAGGAAAAUCAGAAGCGGGAGCCGGCAAUUGAGAGUAAAAUAUAGAGCUUUGCCCUUACUAAUAUAUGAUUUUUAAAAUAAAAAAAAAAAGAAAGAAAGAAGGAAAAACAGUAAAAGCUAUAUGAAUAUAUUUUUCCAGAAAAGGAAAGAAACUUCUUACCCCAAUCUAGAACAUGCUAGGAAAAAAAAAAUCCAUUAAACCCUAAUGCCAUGCCCCUUAGAAAAGAACGAAGGAAACAGCAGAUAAGAAAUUCUUUUAAUUAAAAAAAAAAAGUUAAAAGAUAACAAAACAAACAUAAAUGAAAGCCAACUUUUAACUUACUAAAAACUCUCUUUCAAGUUAUGCUUGCACGAGAUAGAAUUCUCAGAUCCCAAUUCCCGACUCAUAUCAUCAAGCAACCAAACAAACAAACAUACACUGAUACUGCACCAAAUAUAAAAGCAAAAGCAAGAAGCAAAAUAAGAAAAGAAAAAAACUACUUUCAUACUGAAAAUUAAAUAAAAAAAAGUUUAAGAAGAAACAAAAAAAAUUGCGAUAUAUUGAGAGUCAUAUAUAGACCUUGAAAAUGUAAAAUGACAUGGUGGGCUGAUCACUUGGAGAAUCCCAACAGCAGCACACAUGGUGCUGGAAGACCAACAAUUUGUCAGAAAAGAUAAGAAUAAGAAGGUACCUGAAGAAGAGGGGAAAAGAUAAUUAGCAAAUAAUUAAUUAUUUAAUUAAUUACUUAAUUAAUUAAUAAUUGAACAAUUAGACAUGAUGUGAGUAGUUGAGUACUUUUUUCUUUUCCUUUUUUGUAGGAUGAGUACUUUUUUCCAUUUAUUGCAUGUAAUGGGUUAAUGGGGUCACCAUCAACGCAGAGAUUCGACAGUCAGGAUUCAUCCACGUAUGUCAUAUCCUUAUGUGAUGUGUGUUAUGUAGUAAAACGGAACAAAGGUACAAGACAGGUUAAAUAUCUAAUGUACCUAUGACUGGUUCACGUGAUUUUACUGCGAGUGAAAUGCACGUAUUUUGGGGGUUGGCGGGGUUAGAUGUCAUCAUCCGAGUUAGACUGAAGUCACAUCAAACCGUUCAAUGCUGCGGGACCCGUUGGAGUGACAUUUUUGAGGGUGAUACCACGCAGCUAUUAGUGGGCUGUAGCCCUAGCACCAUUGGAUUUGCCUUGAACCAUUGGUACCUUUAUAAAACUCUUUUCAUCAAAAGGACAUGACGAUUUUAGAGUUGCUUUAAAUUAUUAUUACUUACAUAAAAUGAUAAAUAAUAAAAAUAUAUUAUAAUUUUAAUUAUGUAAUUAUAAAAAAUAUUCUAUCAUAAAACAAUUUCAACAUAAUCAAACCCUUUCUGAAAAUAUCCCCUCAAUUAAUGAAUGAAUUUAUUUUUAGGUAGGAUUAUUGGUAUUGACUAAAGUUCCUUAUUGCACUCUUUUUUCAAUUAAAAACUUUAUUAUGAAAAUAUAAUAUGAUCAAUUAUUUAUUUUAUCUUACUAUCUCUUUUAAUAUCUCCUUUUUUAUCAAAAUUUGUCAAGAUACAUAAGGUAAAUAUUAUAUUUAACGAAUAAAUUUGUUCAAAAAUUAACAAAUUCAACGUUAUUUUAAGCUUAAAAAAAUAAAAGGAUUAGUAAAAAUUUUUGUACCGCAUUGAACCUAUUAAAUUUUUUUUUGUCAAAUCUUAGAAGCAAAAACUUUAAAUAAUAAUAAUAAUAUGAGGUAAAUCUAGUAAUGUUAUAGUAAAGAAUAAGGGAAAGGUAAAGAUAGAUUAAUUAAAAGUUAUAUUUUAUUAGGGUAUUUCUAGAAAUAAGUUAGAUUAAUUAAAAGUUACGGCUGAUGAAAUAAAUCGAGGGGAUCAAAUAUCACUAAUCCUCUAGUAAACCAAUAAUCCAUAUGCCAUAGGCUUGGGGAGGUUUGAGAUUGUUAAUAGAAGAAAAAAAAAAGGGUAGAGAGGCGUGAGCAAAGUUAAAAUUAUUAUUUUUUAAUUCUUCUUAAAUUGGAUGGACAAUCAAGAUUAGAGUUCCUAUUUGUAGGGUAGGUUUUCAAGACAGAAAUGCCUUACUUCAUCUGGAAAGGACUUUCCCUCGUGGGAAAGAGAAGUUACUUAAAACAUAAGGGCAAAAGGAAGUUAAUAAUCAAUAGAAAAAAUCUCUUCUUGGCUGAUGUGACUUUGCGUCUUUGGUCCUUAUUUCAUCUCAAACUCAAUUAAAUUAAAUUUAAAUUUAAAUUAUAUGCAUUUAAUAAAUUUGAGGGAAUAAAUAUGUAAUUUCAACUAAUUUAAUAGUGUGUCAUUUGAAUUUUUUGACUAAGUGGACGCAGCUUGUCUCUUAGUGGCUUCGCUGCUAUCUAUCUUUUUUUAAUUCCAUAUUAUUAAUUGUUUCAUAAACCCCAAUUUUAUAGAGUUAUUUGUCAAUUGAAAGACCUAAGAGAAUGACAAUAGCUAGAGUUGAAGAGAUACCUAUAAUAAGAAACAAAACCCAAACCCAAAGUUAGUGAGGAUUAGAUUAGAUGGAUUACUCACGAAAUUACUUAAUUGCUGGCCAUUAAACCAUACGUGUUCUUUCUUUGUAAGCACUAAGCAUCCCUUCUUCUCUUAGCCUUUGACAUGUCAAGGACCAAUGGAGAACCUUUCUAGAAAACGUGCUUAAUAUAUAUUUAUUGGUUAUACAUCUUUAAGUGAUGUAACUAUAUGGGCCUAAAAGGGAAACCAAAGUUCCCUGUGUGUAUUGCCCAGACACUUGGAAGUGCACUACAACAAAGUUAUUGAAAAAAUAUAAUUGCUGUAGAUUUCUGAUAGUAUGAUAAAAUAACCUUGAAAAAUAUGUCUCACAAAGCCAAAACCAUUGGUAAUACACGUGGGUCCAAACAUGGUAUAAUGGGAAGCAUAUACUUGGCAAGGAAUGCCUUGAUGUAAGGAACUUCAUCAGAAAUUGUGGUGACGCUGUCCUUAGUCCCCUUGGAUAAAGCAUUGGCAUAAUCUUAAGCAGACUUGUAUGGCUUAAGCAUGGAAUUUUCAAAGUUUAAGCUGUCUAUAGCUCCUUAGAUAAACGCUGUCCUUACUCCCCUUGGAUAACGCAUUGGCAUAACGUAAGUAAUAAAUAUAUAAAUUAGAUAUUUCUCGAGUCUUUAACUAAUGUCCACUUGGUUCGGAAGUUAAUAAGAUAAUUCAAAUCUAAAAUUGUUUCAUUAAAAAUUUAUGUGAGCUUAUGAUUUUUUGAAAAUUAAUAAUUGUAAAAAUUUUAUUUACCACUAUUAUCAACUUUUAUUUUAUAAGUAAAGUUUCUAUUUUUAUCAUGACCGUACCUUUGAAGCACCGUAAUCCAAACUACCAAACUGAGUCUAAGACUAUAUAUUGCUGUUUGUUACAAACUUACAAUAUCGUAUUCAUUUAUUAUACAAUUGUCAGGCAGCAAAAUCAUACCUCGAGAACAUUAAAAAUGAGAUUAAAAUAGGAUCCAGCCAUUUAUCCAUCGUCAUUCCAAAACGGAAUAAAGUCGUAAGGUACAUCAUAUGGUAAAGAAUCCUAUUGCAGCCUUGAGUAGGUCUAGACAGAAUCCUUUUACAUUUGUGGCAUUAUUGGAUUGCGGAUCGUGAACCACACUAACAGAUUCUUUAAACCCAAAUUUCACUAGAACCCUAAUCCUUGACUUAUUAAUCCUACCAGUUCCUCCCGGAAUGGCUGCAGAUCCUCCUGGUCAUAUGAUGAUUUCAAGGUCAUCGCGAUAAUGAAUUCAUUUCCUGUGUGAUAUUCCCUGCGGUUGGAGUCUAAAAGCCAACUCUUCUUGUGCCUUUGCUAAUGACAUUUACAAUUUGAAAUCCCAUUAAAAUUAAUUUCCAAUUAGUCAACCGAAAAUCACCACUUAAACUCUCGAAGCUACUGUUCAGUGUAGGGAUGGCAAUUGUACCCGCAAACCCGCCCAAACCCACCCACCAAAACCCGCCCGUUGCGGGUAAUUUUAUCCGUUGCAGGCAGGUUUAGUAUUAUAAAUUAAAACCCGCACAUGGAUGUGGGUGGGUUUGGUAUUAACUUUAUAUCCUGUGGAUACCCGCAUGGAUAUCCACCAAACCCGCAAUAUUUUUUUCAAAUAUUUUUAAUUUAAUUUAAAUCUAAAAAUGUAUAAAGAAAAUAAUGUCAUUAAUUAAAUUACCAAAUAGCCAAAGGCUCAAAGUUGUGUAUGUGUGUAUGUGGCCUAUAUCAUAUUCUAAAGUCAUAAUCUAAAGAAAACUAAAGGCAUUUUCCUUCGAAUUAGUAUUUGAAAAUAUUAAUCUUAAUUAUUAUUAUAGGCAUUGUGUUGGAUGGGUGCUUAUGGUGGUGAAUGAAAUGAAUAUCUUCUCUUGGAGCUUGUUUUAAAUGAUAAUAUGAAAUGUAAUUAUUAUUUUUAGAUACUAGUUUGUGUUUUUUAAAUGGAUUUGUGUAAUUUAUACUUAAAUUUGAGAAUUUGUGUUGAAUUGAUGUGGAAAUUUUAAUUUUUCAUUUACAUUAUUUAAAUAUAAAAUUGAGUAUGUUAUAUGGAAUUUGAGGUUAUUAUUAUAAAUUUAUAUAUUAAACAUUUGUGAUUUUAAAUACGGAAACCCGCAAAAAAUCCGCCGGAUACCAUUGCGGGUUUGGUAAUUGUUAAAACCCGCUGCGGGUGGGUUUUUGUAAAAAAAUUAAAACCCGCUGCGGGUUGCGGGUGGGUUUGGUAAUUUAAAUUUUGUUCGGGUUUGAAUUUAGUAAUGGCAAACCCGCUGCGGGCGGUGCCCAUUACCAUCCCUAGUUAAGUGUCUCCAUAUAAAAUGUAAGACCACUUGUGAAGAUUGGAUGGUGGUUGAGUCCAUCAUGUUCAGUCUAGCUGGAACUAUCAUGAUCUUCAUUUUCAGAAUAAUCCCCUGUAAGUUUCAACUUUUCAGCUGCUUUGCUAGCUAGAGCCCAGAUCAUAUGCCAAAAUCCCAAACGCAUCUAAUUCCGAUACCUCAGCAUCUGGAAUAUCAAUAUAAAAUUUCCUUCUCCACCUUAGAGUAAAAUUCUGAAGCUCCGUGGAGGAUGGAACAUAACGCUUGAAACCCAAAGCCCCUUGCAUGGACACGAGUACGGAUGAAUCCAUUGAGUGCAAUAAAUUCAUAGUUGUGUCAGCCACAAGCCAAGCAACCCUCACUUAUCAUUCCUGAUUUCUUAGCAUUCGAGAGCAAAUGGGAUGCAACAACAUGCGACACGUUCACCACAAAUACUUUUAUUGUAAAGUCAUGAGCAUAGAGAGCUUUUCGAUGAUUUGAUCAUCGUUAUAUGAAGAUGGGACGGCUAUCCUUUGAGCAAUAUAAAGAUCACUACUGUGUAGGGAAUCCAACAUAUAAGGAAUCAUACUAUCAGUCCCCAAAGUAUUAUCCUCAUAGAUGAGAUUGACGGCUUACAUUCGAAGAUUGCAAAACCAUUAGAAAUGCCCUUAGCUUGCUGAGAAGCUUCAUCUUGAGGUAUAUUAAUCAAGUAUGACGAGGACAGAAAAGGGACGCAUGCAAAGAGAGAAAUGAUAGGAAUGUUAGCUCUCGAUCCUAACUCUUCUAAAAUUUGUCCUUCGCAUGAUGCUUCCGUACAAAUGAUUGCUUGCAAAGUUGCAAUUCUACAUUUUGCAUACGAUUCAAGGCAGCAUUUGAAGUUAAUAGGAUGGAACUUCAAUCGCUAAUGAUAAUUCAUAGGAUAGGAAUCAAAUUAAAAAUUGAGCAUGAAAUUUGAAUUUAAGAAUAUGAUAUAAUGAUGACAAAACAACUGUAUUAUAUAAUAUUAUAGUGUUAAGUCAAAAUUUAACAUUUAUUUUCAGUUAAUACUAUAACGUUAUAUGAUUUUACUGUUAUAUUUAUCGUCGUUGCGUCACUGCUAGCGCUUCGGCUCUUCAUCACUUUCCUUAAAAAUUAGAUUGUAGUGCAUAUGAUAAUUAUAAGAGAGGGAAAAAAUGUUAUUGGAUGUUUCUACUGAACCAUUUUUGGAAAGGAAAGAAAAUUUAUACGCCACAUACAUGCAUAGGUGGAUGACAGAUUGCAUGUUCAUGGACGGAGGUGCACAACAACAUUUCUCGUAGAAAAAAAAAAAAAAUCUCUUAAGUGCGCAUACGCAUGCAUACAUAUACAUUGUAAUUUUAAAAUAAAGGAAAUUUUUACUAAAUUAAAAUAAGUGAUAAAUUAAAAAAAUAAAAAAUAAAAAAUACGUAUUUCAAUACAAUUUAUUUUAUCCUAUAGAGUAUUAAAAAAAUUAUAUAUUUUUGUAAAUUGUCCAAGAUAAAAGAUUCUUUUAUUGUAAAGUUACUUCAUAUAUCUUUUUAAGAAAAAAGAAAAAAGAAAAAAAAACUCUAUAUUUAUAUGUCAAAAUUGUCCUUAAUAAUUUUGAAAGUUUUUCAAUGGGCCCUUGUAAUCUUAGAUUUUCCAUAUACUGUGGUUUAUAACUUUUAUGAGUUCUUAAAUUGAACCUUGUGAAAAUCAUAAUUAUAUAGUAUCAUUUAUUAUUUUUGAAAUUUAUAAAAAUGAGUCGUGUUCACUGUUCAGGUCUAAGAAUUUCAAUAUUUACAAGAAGAGCACUUAUGAACAAUAGACUUAGGCUCCGUUUGGUACAACUUAUUAAAUAAAGCUUAUAAUAGUUGAGCUUAUAACAGUAGAGCUUAUACCAAUAGAGCUUUUGGACAAAAAGUCAUUGGGUGUUUGGUUGUUAAUAAAAAAAAUAUUUUUUAACUAUUAAACUGUGUGAUAUUUUUUAUAUUAUAUAUUUUUAGAAAAGUUAUCUAACUUCUACUCCCAAAAGCUCAAAUUUUGGGCUUUUACUAGUAGAGAUAUUUUUUAACUAUUAAACUGUGUGAUAUUUUUUAUAUUAUAUAUUUUUAGAAAAGUUAUCUAACUUCUACUCCCAAAAGCUCAAAUUUUGGGCUUUUACUAGUAGAGGUAAAUUAGCUUAUUUAAGCUAAAAAAACUCUACUAAAAAAAUAACCAAACACCAUAAAAAAUUUUAAAAAGUGCUUCUACGAUUAAAUAAGCACUUAUAACUCUUAAAUAAGUCAUACCAAAUAAGCACUUAACGUAUGUAGCAUAUGUUAUUCAGUAUGUUCAACAUGCUGAGUUUUGACGACAUAUUGUCUAAUAGUUCACCAUUUAUCACAAUGUAGCCCGGAUGGGCAAAUCUAAAACAUGGUAUAUUUUUUUAAAGGAAAGAUUUCAAUUCGAGACGGGUUGAAACCACAUUGUAAACAAAUUUUUACAACUUAUAAAUUGUUUGACAUGGUUAACACAAUUAUAUAUUAAUUCACAGUAAAGAGCAGUAUGCAUAUAUAUACAGUAAAAUAAUGUUAUCUGUAGAUAAAGCACGAGACGGAUCUCCCUUAGAAUCCCUCGAGUGGAGAACUAGCCUUGUUUUGUGUCGAGUAUUUAGAGCAUAAACAUCAGAAAUGACAUGGAAAUGCAGCUAAUGCUGAUAUUCCCUGACCGUGAUCGCAUAUCAAGGAUGUCUCCAACAUGUACUUCAUCUGCACUUGAACUUGUUUUAUUCGUGAACUUUUCAAGCUCUGCACGCGAUGGACUGAAAAAGGAUAAGCAAGAAAAUAAACGAGAAAAAGGGCUUGCUUCUUAAGCUGCUGCUCCAUUGGCCCAAUAGUAUUUGAACCCAUUAUCAGCAACUUCAACACGUGUUUCUGAUUCCGAGAAGCAACACAGCCGGCAGAGAUUUGAAUGUUCAACUUGGAGUCUUGGAUCUAACAUCAGAAGAAAGAACAAAAAUUAUUCUAUAGUUUUCGAGUGUUAAGAUCUAGACUACAUAUCGAGUGAGAGAGAAAAAAAAAUUGAAUAUAAUAUCAUCACCUAUCGGCUCUUGACUAUUGGCUUCGCCUUCUUGCCAGCUCGAGUGAUCAAGUAAAUUUCAUGAAUAUAGAUUGACACAUAGACUAGAGUGCAACAUGGCCUUCUUUUAGACUGUGGAAAUUAAACCAAGUCAACCAUGGCCUUUUAAAUUAACUUAUGUGAAUAACUAAGUCAAUCUUAUUUCUUAGAAAACUUGUUGGGAAGCUGUAUCUUGCGGCCUACAUUUAAAUUUGAGAAAAUAAAUACAUAAACUAGGAUAAAGAUCCUCUCUUAAUCUAAGUUUUCAUGAGUUUUUAAAAAUCUUGUGUCAUGUGUCUUUAACUGAUAGUAUAUGGAUAAAAUUUAAUUUCUUUUUUUUAUUUAUUUAUUAACUACCAAUCACUCACAUGUAUUUUUACUUAUAAUGAGAUUAGAUCAUGAGAGAAUUAUAAUCCUAUAAACUAAUGGAAAUAAUGAAUAAAUAAUAUUGGAGGAAAUAUCCAUGAUAAACAUUGUAAUGAUGUUGGACAAUUUUAAAAAGUGUUUUUAUUUUACGUUAGUUUUCUUAUUUUAGUCAUUUUCUUUUUUUUCACAAGAAUAGGAAUCUGUUCGAAAGGGGUGAAUUGAGUCUUAUUUCUGAUAAUUUGGCAUCAAAAUCUUUGCUUUUACCUUAACUUAGUAUGUUCACGCUAGCAAUUAGCAUUGAGAUAUAGCUGUCAGAGAAGUAAAAGAAUAUAGUUAUGAAUAAGGUAAUAUGUAGAGAAGCUAAAUGCGAGCUUACCGAUUACAAAAAUAUUAUUGUUGGACACCUGAUAUUCAAAAGUAGUCUAAACUAAUUUUUUAGGCACAUUUUAGACUCUCUCUCCUGACAUAUUAAGGGCAGUUUGAUAAUGUUGCGGCUUUUAAAAUAAUUAAUAUUAUUGGUAAUGGAUGGGUUUAAAUCACACCUCCUUCCACCACUAGCAAGAUAGUAAAUGGUCUUUGAUCAUUCUGGGAACAGAGGAUUUUGCUAUAGGGACUGCUUAGUGCUCACAAGGUCUGGAAUGUGUGAGUUUUGUUGAUUUUGUUUCCUUUUUUCAGUAACAUUACUUUCUCAGUAAUGAAUUAAUUUUUUAUAAUGCUUAAUUUAUUCAGAUCUCAAAAGCACAUCAAUGAGCUUAUUGGUCACUGCAGCUGGAAUAAUGCAAAAGGGAAAAUGUAAACAAAAUUAUCAAGAAGGUGAAAAAUGCUGGAUUUUCACUAGUUAUCUUGGUUAAAUGUAUAUGGUAAACUUCAAUUUACUCCGUACUUAAAAUAAAAAGGUAGAGUAAUUUAAGUUUGUACACUUUUGAUAAAUAAAUUGAAAAUUGCUCUCGUAUAUGGAGGAAUAAAUUGAAGUUUACCCAAUAUAUGUUAUAUACAUUUUCAUUAUUUUUAAUUUGAUACUUGUCCUUAGUUUCCACCAAGUGAUUUUAUGGCAAUGCUUUUCAAUGGCAUUGUGGAUUAUAUAGUAGUGAUUUAGAAUGGAAUGCUCAUGCCAUUCAUGUAUGUGAUAUUAAUUAAACUAAUUAAAAGGUAACUAAAGGCCCUUAAAUACACAAACAAUCUAGAUCUUAAGUAUUUUCAUUUAUACUAGUCCAUUCUGAGUACUUAGACCUGUUUAGAUUUUCUGAAAAUUUACUUCUCCAGUAAGCAUUCAAAGCUAUUACUUUAAAUUCUUAAGCAGAUGCAUUUCAGUUGUUAUCUGUUUGAUAUUUUUAUGAAUAAAGCACUGAGGUUGGCAUUCCAUUGUUAACAGGGCAAUUCACAAAGUUGAUUAGCGGUGGAAGGUGUGAUUGAUAUAUAAGGGCAAAGUAUUCACACUUCAUGGAAGCAAGUUAUAGCCAGGGCUCUUCAUUAAUGCUUGACGAUGGGGCUAUAAUUUCAGUACUUGAUAAUUUGUUUAUAUUUGCAACUAUAUUAGGAGAUCGACUUGCUUGCUCGUAAGAUUAUUCUGUUGGCAUCAUUUUAGAAAGUUUAUAUCUUCAUAAUAUCAACUUACAAAGAAUCUAUACCAGGAUUGGUAUAUAUAAACGAAAACAAAGCUACUACAACUUAAUCAAUUUAAUUUUUUUAUCCAGAAAUAUAGGUACCAAAAAUGAUGUGGCAUACAAUUCGAAUGAAUAACACAAGAAAGCAAGUAGUACCUUGAGAGCAGAGGCAAGAAUUUGAAGGGCUUCAAUAGAAGAAACCAAGUUUCUUGCCUGGUGAUUCACAGGUACAUGUACUUGAUCUUCAUGAAAUAUUAGCACAAGAUUCCAAGAAGAGAAAAAUGAAACGCUCAAACAUAGAUGGGCAUGUCUUGUGGACCUUGAUGGAUCGGACUUCUUGAAAAUCUUGUGGGCCUUGAUUGAGUGAGAGUCACGCGAAGGCCACAUGCAUGUUUGUUGAAUGUUAUGAAAAAAUGACAGAUGUUUUCAAAACCAUGAAAACACAUGAACAUGCAUUAACUUAACAUAACUUCUUCAACCCCAAGUAACUUUACAAGCACAUUUUUAUCGCACUGGUGUAGAAAAACCCGGAACACAAGUGCAUGGAACAUGUCUACUUCUUUAAACUCGAUCUAUGUGUGUGUGUGUGUAAAAUAUGAAUCUCCUACUCUUAACAAAGUAAGAUAUAAGUUUAAAAAAUGAAAAAAUAAAUUUCAAUACAUUGUAUAGGAUAACAUACACUGCAUUAAAUUGUGUAUGUUUUAUAGUUUAAUUCAUCUUUUAUUUUAUUAAACUAAGUAGUUCUCUAAUAGAAAAUAUCUGUGUUCAUUGUAUUAGUAAUUUUAAUUAGCAGUUUUAUGAAGUCCUGCUAGCUGCUUGCUUGAUCUUUUAAUAAUUGAAGCAAAGGGUGGGUGACUCUGUACCAGCCUCUUGGAAUUCGCAAAGGUCAACUUGAAAUGAAAGUUUUGCGUAAGGUAGUUAUAUAUGCGUUUGUGAGCGCUUGUUUUCAAUGUAAAUAUGCUUAAAGGACAGAUCUGACUUUCUAAGCAAGUUUAUAUUUCGUAUUCAUUUCACAUUUGUUCAAAGAUGGAACAGCAGAAGAGGCCGAUAUCAAUUCUUCGACAUUUCGUCCCUACCGUUCUUUUGCUCUCUGCGGUUUUCUUCAUCGGUUGUGCCUUUGUAGUCACAGGCUCUAAAGAGGUAGCCACAAUUGCAUAAACCUCGUAGCAUGAGUGACACAUUUUGUUAGCACAGACUUUGAAUGAUUUAUUUUCUGGCAAGAAAGUAGUAACAAUGGUCUUUUAUAUACAUAUAUAUAAUUUUUAGCAGAGGAAUUCGCUAUGGAGAGUGCUUAGGAGGUCUAGGAUGUGUGAGGUAUUGAUGAUUUGCUUCCAUUUUCUGUUCAUACUUUAUGCAAAUGCAAUGAUUUGUCACCCUAUAUAUUCAGACUCAGUGGAGACCACGUGGCAGCGAGACACUACCUAGUGGUAUCGUCGCUAGGACAUCUGACUAUGAAAUGCGAUCAUUAUCAGGCAAAGGGAACAAAAAGGUCAGUAGCUAUAUAGAUUUUAUGUAGCAUUACUUUCCCAAUAAUGACAUUAACUUGUUCUAUUUGCUUUGUUUAGAACUCGAAGACAUCAAUGAGCUUAUUAGCCAUUGCAGCUGGAAUAAAGCAGAAGGAAAGUGUGAACAAAAUUGUCAAGAAGGUGAAAUAUGCUGAAUAUUUUUUGCUCCAAUUGUAUAUAUUCUAGCUUUUUGUUGAAUUCAGUGUCUCAAUGUCUCAGUUUCCACCAAGUGAUUUUGUGGUGAUGCUUUUUCAUUAUGAUGGCGUUGUGGAUGCUUGGAGGGAUUUGGAAUGGAGUGCCCAUGCCAUCCAUGUCUCUGCUAUUAACCAAACUAAAUGGUAAUUAGAAGUUCUAAAAAAACUCAUUCAAAACAGGGCUUAAGCAUAUUCUCAGUAACUUGAUGUUCUGUAUUAUAUCCCAUGAUUAGGUGGUUCGCUAAGCGUUUCUUGCAUCCUGAUAUUAUCUCGGACUAUGCCUACGUUUUCCUAUGGGAUGAAGACCUUGGCGUUGAUAAUUUCAAUGGUAAAAGGUAUAAGUUUGAAUCCAGAGCCUGGUUAUACUUUCGGGAAAAUAACUUCUUUGGCAAGGCAUUCACAGUUUAAUUUUCGGCAAUCUAAACAUUUAUGCAGAUACAUUUCAAUUGUUAAAGAAGAAGGGCUUGAGAUAUCCCAGCCAGCACUUGAUCCUGAUCUAUCUGAGCUACAUCAUCAUCUUACAGUGCGUAACAACAGAACAAGAGUGCACAGGUUAUUCUCAGCAAGCUUGUUUUUAAAGAUAGUGUCGUUUCAAUUGAAAUUAAUUUUUCCGUUUGAUAGUUUUCUGGACUAACCUCUAAGGUUGGUGUUGCAUUGUUAACCAGGAAGAUUCACAAGUUGAUUAGUGGUGGAAGGAAAUGUGAUGUAAAUAGCACCAAGCCUCCUUGCGCAGGGUAAAUGUAUUUACAAGUUCAAAUGAUCGCAAGUCACCAUUGGUCUUAAGCCGAAAAUUCUCAGGCAUUUACGCAACACAUUCAAAUUAUAUAAUCAUAGGGCAGUAACAUGGAGUCUUACACUUUUUACAGGUUUGUAGAAAUGAUGGCACCUGUUUUCUCAAUAGCGUCCUGGCGUUGUGCAUGGCAUAUGAUUCAGGUAUAUAAUCUUUUAUUAGGACAUUUUGACAGGAAAUUAUUACUACUCAGAUCGGCAAAGUAUGUCUCUGAAUUUUCCUUCUUUACUUUCUCAAAUUCGUUGUCAGAAUGACUUGGUUCAUGCAUGGGGAGUGGACUUUCAGCUGGGUUAUUGUGGACAGGUAACUUUCCAAAACUACAAUCUUAUCAUCUGUUCAGCUUAGUCCCUUGAACACAUAUCUGAAGUGUAUCAUAUUCUUUGACUCUUGACAGGGUGAUCCAACAAAGAGCAUAGGCAUUGUGGAUGCCGAGUACAUUGUUCAUUAUGGUCUUCCUACGCUCGGAGGUCUGGUUGCAAAGAAGGUUAGAAACUCUGAUGAUCAUAUAUGUUCAAAUUAUGCUACUUAUAUUUAUAUGUAUUACUGAUGGCCAUUUAUCUACAGACAUCAUCAUCGUUGCAUCAGUCGGCAGCUAGAGAAGAGGUCAGUAUUUUUUGGGGGCUGUCUAUUUCUUAGCAGUCUUGGGAAGAGCUUUAAAACGCACUGAUAUGUUAAUUUUUGCAACUAUUUUAUGCAGGUGAGAAACCGGUCCUAUGUUGAAUUAGAGAUCUUUAAGAACAGAUGGAGAAGUUCUGUUAAGGAUGAUGACUGUUGGGUUGAUUUAUUAGAACAAUCAAAAUAGCCGAAGAGAUACUAGAAGCAUGAUAAAAUGAAGAGAAAGCAGCAUACUUGUGCAAUACUUUCUGCAUCAUUGAGGAUGCAUAAUAUUGUUAAAAUCCAAUACUUUUUUAAGUAUAAAUAAAUUUUUGUUUUUUUUACUUUUUAAAACUAUAUCUGUUCAAUCAUAUAUAAAACCUUGUAAUAGUACAUUCAUUCAAAUAUAGUAGUAAACACAACACAAAGGCAGAACUGUGAUGUAACAAUUCUGUCACUCUCUCAUCUCAGGAAUGACAAUGACAAUUCACAAGCUUAAAAACAAGAUGAAAAAUGAAAAUGAACUUGAUAUGUACUUCAUAAAUGUUAUCAUUGUGCUGCCAACAUGAAAAUUGGUCAUAAUUGUAGCUUAGUGCAGGAGAAAUGAUGCCAAAACAAGAUACAAAACCAAUUUUUGGAGAGUCAAUUACUUGGAAACAUUUAAGUUUCAUCCAAUUAAUCUCCUUUUGCGAAAAAUUUCAGAAAUAACUUUUCCGAGUUCUUCACCAGAAUCCUCCUGUACGUGAUGCCCUGCCUGCAAAAUGCAAACAAUUAACUGCAGUUUUAUUGCCAAGUACAAAUAGUUAAUGCAAAAACACUUGAGCAUGAUACCACCUCUGCACUUUUAAGAAGCAUCAAAGGGGAAUGGAAAUAUAAUUGAGCAUGUACAUUGAACAGCAACAGUAUUAUGUUAAUGCAUGAGAUAUAUCUGAUUCUACCAUUGGAAGUUCAAUUAGCUCAUGGUUUGAAUUGUUACAGAAAUCUUCAACUCCAUCAUAGUUCAACCACCGGUCUCUCUGUCCCCAGCAUACUGUAGUUGGAAUUUUCCAACUAUUAUCCAUGAGUAUUGUCCUCAUUUCUUCCACAUAUUGCUGAUAGUUAAAGCAGACAUAAGAAUAAACCAACUGGAGCACAUGAGCAGAAAAGAAUAAAAGGAAUUAGAAAUUAUUUUCACCUUUAGCUGCUUUUUCAUGCCUCUACUAAUGGCAGUCAAAGCAAACCCAGAGGAACCAGAGGAGAGAUAAGGACUUCUAUAAACCAUCGCAUCGUCCUCUUUCAUUUGAUAAGGACCACAGCUCGUCAAAGCUUUAUCACUAGCCCUUAAAGGAUCCUAUUUGGUUAUAGAAGAAGGUGAUUAAGUAUGUUAACUAUUGUGCUAAACCUUUUGAGGACCAGUUAAACUGAAAUUUUAUAUAAAUUUAACAAAGAUAAAUAAGCACAUAUGCAUUAGCGCCUGAAAACUCAAAGAAAUACAUACAGAAACCUGUGUGUUGUAAAAGUUGUAAUGUAGUCUGCCUACCUGAGAAAAAAUUUCACCGAGCAAAAAGUUGCUGAAUAUGGACAAGGUUGAUGGAAGGUUGGCAUGUUUCGCUGUUAGCUUGAGUAAACAAUGAAAGGGAGCAUCCAUUAGUUGUCACCAAUCAAACAAUUUUCUACUAUUCUGUCAUCAUUUGCUGCAUGCAUGUAGAAAGCAGAAUACUAAAUACUAUGAUAGAAAGAAAUUAAAGAAAUGCAUGGUCAAGAUUCAGGAGAUCCAUACAGGAGGAUUGAGGAGAAUUAGAUCCUUAAGCUUGUCCUUAUGCUUGCUAGCAUAUUUAACAACGACAGGCGAAAAGUAGCCCUGAGGGGUACAUAAAAAAUUGGAAGCUUUCAGUUUCAUGUCACCUAUAAACACAAUAGAUCAAAUUAACCGCUUACUUCUAUUCUACUAUUAAAGAAGGAGAACAUGCCUGGACAACAAGUGAGACCUUGUCAUUAGCAAUUUCAUUAACAAAGGACUCCAAGGAUGCCACAUAUUCUGCAUACCAUAAUGAAAAUUUACUAAAGAGACACAGUAUAUUUAACACUUAUCUGUCAUCAUUAAGGCUACUAAAGCAUUACCAUCCAAAUUAUAGUCAAAUCCAUAUCCGGGUUGAGGCUUCUCUGAAAAUCCAAAGCCUGUAGAAAUGAGAUGAAGGCAAAUUUUCUCUCUUAGCUUAUCUUGAAAGAUAUAAAUCUCAGUAAAUCCCCAAAACUCAACCUCAAGAACAAGAACUCAGAAUCUAUUACAAUUCAUCGUAAUUGGUAGCAUGAUCUUACCAGGCCAAUCAAAAGCAAUUGCAUGAUAGUUCUUAGAGAGCACAGGAAGGACUUUACGGUAGGAAUAUGCCUGUCAAUACAUUAAAUUAUCCAUAUGAAAGGAUCACCAAUGAAAAUGGACUAAAAGGAUUGACAGAGGAACACUUACUUGUGAAGGGAAUCCAUGAAUCAGCAAAACUGUAUGAUUAUCAGCAUUUCCACUUUCUACGCAGAACCAUCUAUUGCACAAAAUCAUAUAUAGAGAGCAUGUUUCAAUCGGUAACCCUGCAAAUAUCAGAUCUCAAUUUCUUCACACCAUACCGACUUUACGACACUAUAAGCCUACAUACAAAUUACCAAGUAAUGUUCCAUGGAAAAUACCCACUUCUACAUUAUUACCUGAAGAUCUCAUCAGCCUGAGAAGCAGAACCUAGGUCAAGUCCAAAAAUUGGGUCUUUUGCAGUUUCACCAGAACCAGAAACAGUAACUGCUUUCACCUGAAGCAAAAAGAAUUUAACACCCAAGAAGAGUUUCAAUACUUAGAAAUCAAACAUACUCCUUAACGCUUACUAUUUUCCCUUGCUUAAACCACUCAUCAGCUGGGGAUGACCCAUCUGAGUAUUUCCCUGCAUGAAAUAACCCCAUUAACAUUAUUCUGUGUUAAAAAUCUUGAAAAAGAAAUUUACAUUAAGAAAUUAUAUAAAUAAAAGUGAUGAAAGAUAUUGAAUGGUUACCUCCAAAAAAGGAAAAGCCAUCUCCCUCAGAAACAGGAGCAUCUAUAAGGUAAUCCUGAUAAAGAAAACAUAUAUGAACAGUUUACAAGGGAUAAAAAAGUUUAUGCAUGUAAUCAGAAAAGGCUCGAAAGUGAUCAAAUAUCAGAGAAUCAUGAGCAUACAUCUUCAUAUGUGCAACUGAUUCUUAAGCAUUUUCUGCGGUUCUUGCAAGCAGGUGACUUGAGCUGUCCAUGAACAAAUGAAGAAGUAGAAGCAGUUGGAGAGCUGGGGAGCAGCUGGGGAUGAUGAUGAGAGUGAAAUGAAAUUGUUUUAGCUUGAACUAUAGCCAUGGGCUAUUGCUGGGAGAGGGUUUGUGUUUUACUGAAUAAAUAUUCAAAGAGACCGUUAACCGCUGGCGUUGGCUUCUAACUGCAAAUUAAAUUUGGGUUGCUCAAAGGAGAGGUUGGUCCAAACAAAGUUGUGUAAGAGAUAGGACUUCUCUGGCUCUCAUUCUUCACUAAACAGCACUCACAUUUAAGUUAAUUUUUAUGUUUAUUCUCUCCCGAUGCUUAGGCUCAUAGCGAGAUUAAAAAUUAUACGCAGAGGGUAUAUUAUUGUCACCUUAUGCUCCUAACCCUUGUAAGUUCAACCCAAAAUACGACUACAUAUUUUAAGGAGUUCAUUAAGUAUUUAAAGGAGUUCAUCAAGUAUUUAAACUAGGCAAGAUCUUCUCUGGCUGGCGAAACCCUUUAGCGUGAUUUAUUGACAAGUGAAAAAUUCCGACUUUCUUAAAGAAAUAGGUUGAUAGAUAACACGUCUGGUGUUCCUCAUGAUCAGGAAAAUUUAUAUGAUUUGUUUCUUUGAUUAUUGUUAAAUGUAUGAUCUUCAAAAGUGAGUAUAGAUAUUUCAUUUUUGUUUUUUCCAUUCUAGUUUCAAGCAAGUAUUGUUACAAGAAAAUUUAACAAUAUCUUUAUUCUUUUUAUACAAAUAAUUUAACUCUUACAAUUGUACUACGACAGAUGAAGUGCCUUCAAUCCAUAUUCUCAAGUAACCGUAGCCAAAAUCAAUAGGUUUCAGUAACUGAAGCAAGUUUCAUUUGCAAUAAAAAUCCCAAACAGGUAGAUUUACAGAGUAGCAAAUUGAGAUACAUGGGAUCUUAAAACCAAAAAGUAGACGUUACAUAUUUCUAUUUAACGAAGUAAGGAAGGUUAAGGACAUAAAGCAGGAAAUAAGCCCAAAUGACACCAGAAAUUCCACCAAAGAAGAAUCCUCCAGUGAACUUAGCCCACCCAUCAGCUGUUUGCAACUGAUCAGGCUCCUUCUUCCUUCCGGUCAAUGUUAAGCCUGGAGCAGUGGAUGGCUCUCCUUCAUUGAAUGAAGCAAUUCCAUAGAUUGUCAAGCAAAUGCUGAGGAUCACAACAAGGCCACCAGCUGCCAAUGACCCUGCUGGUCCUGCUAUUUCUGUGUUUCUCAAUGGCCCUGCCUUAACAAAUGGACCCACAAGGAGGAAUCCAUGGGCCAACCC
RNAcentral lists this long non-coding RNA (47403 nucleotides) under Citrus sinensis (sweet orange). RNAcentral's name for it is "long non-coding RNA (CSIN_LNC000738)". The stretch from base 13850 to 13944 matches the Rfam family "MIR535 microRNA precursor family". The record is from RNAcentral. Lineage: Eukaryota; Viridiplantae; Streptophyta; Magnoliopsida; Sapindales; Rutaceae.